GAGAUUGCUGCUCUUGAACGCACUGGUACCUGGGAUCUUGUUUCUCUUCCUCCCGGAGUCCGUCCCAUCACUUGUAAGUGGGUCUACAAGGUUAAGACUCGCUCCGAUGGUUCUCUUGAGCGUCACAAAGCUCGUCUCGUGGCUCGUGGUUUUCAGCAGGAGCAUGGUCGUGAUUAUGACGAGACUUUUGCUCCUGUGGCCCAUAUGACCACUAUUCGUACACUUCUUGCCGUUGCCUCUGCACGCCACUGGUCUAUAUCUCAGCUUGAUGUUAAGAAUGCCUUUCUUAAUGGUGAGCUGCGUGAGGAGGUGUACAUGCAGCCACCACCUGGGUAUUCUGUUCCUGAUGGCAUGGUGUGUCGUCUUCGUCGCUCUCUCUAUGGCCUUAAGCAAGCCCCUCGCGCCUGGUUUGAGCGUUUUGCCUCUGUGGUCACUACUGCUGGUUUUUCAGCAAGUGCUCAUGAUCCAGCAUUGUUUAUUCACCUUUCUCCUCGUGGCCGGACUCUUCUUCUUCUCUAUGUUGAUAAUAUGGUCAUCGCUGGGGAUGACCCCGAGUAUAUUGCCUUUGUAAAGGCCCGUCUUGGUGAGCAGUUUCUUAUGUCUGAUCUUGGACCUCUUCGCUACUUUCUUGGGAUUGAAGUCUCUUCUACCUCUGAUGGCUUUUUUAUAUCCCAGGAAAAGUAUAUCCAGGAUCUUCUUGCUCAUGCUGCUCUUACUGAUGAGCGCAUUGUUGAGACUCCUAUGGAGCUCAAUGUUCACCUCCGUGCUACUGAUGGUGAUCCUCUCCCUGACCCGACGCGUUAUCGUCAUCUUGUUGACAGUCUUGUCUAUCUAGCUGUCACUCGUCCGGACAUCUCUUAUCCGGUUCAUAUUCUGAGUCAGUUUGUCUCUGCUCCCACCUCGGUUCACUAUAGUCAUCUCCUUCGUGUUCUCCGAUAUCUUCGGGCCCCAACUCUCACCGUCUAUUCUUUCCUAGCUCCAGUUCUUUACAGCUUCAGGCCUAUGCGGAUGCUACGUGGGCUAGUGAUCCUUCUGAUCGCCGUUCACUUUCUGCUUACUGUGUUUUUCUUGGCGGUUCUCUCAUUGCCUGGAAGACGAAGAAACAGAUUGCAGUUUCCCGUUCGAGUGCUGAGGCUGAGUUGCGAGCCAUGGCUCUUUUGACGGCAGAGGUGACUUGGUUACGGUGGUUACUUCAGGAUUUUGGUGUUUCUGUCACUACACCGACUCUGCUCUUAUCUGACAGUACAGGUGCUAUUAGCAUUGCGCGCGAUCCUGUGAAGCAUGAGCUCACCAAGCAUAUUGGUGUUGAUGCUUUCUAUGUGCGCGCUGCUGUGCAGGAUCAGGUUAUUGCUAUUCAGUAUGUGCCUUCCGAGUUACAGUUGGCGGAUUUCCUGACGAAGGCCAGACUAGAGCACAACAUGGCUUUUAUCUCUCCAAACUCAGUGUUGUUCCUCCACCAUGAGUUUGAGGGGGGGGGGUGUUAGAGUUAUAAUAUAGGUCAUGUACCCCUUUGUAUUUAUCCCGUUGUAUAAGAGGUUUCCUGCAUAUGUUCCACAUCUGUACAUGUAUAUACACUGGUAGAAAAAAGCCCUUUAGUCCCGGUUCGCAACAGCCUUUAGUCCCGGCUGUGCAACCGGGACUAAAUAUGCGCGACUAAAGACCCCCCCCCUUUAGUCGCGCCUCUUACGGACCGCGACUAAAGGCUUUAGUCCCGGUUCUUGUGGCUGACCGGGACUAAAGGCCCGUCCACGUGGGCGCCAGUGGUCCGUCGGGGCGGAGGACCUUUAGUCCCGGUUCUCGUGGCCAACCGGGACUAAAGGCCUCCUCCGCAGGUUUAGGGUUUUAGCCCCCCUAAACCUGGUUUCUUUUUAGUUUGGAGUGUUUUAUUUCUUUUAUAUUUUAUUUUGUGUUUUAUUUUAAUUUUGAUAAAGUUUCAGUACACAUAUUCUACGCUACUAUAUACAUGCAUAUGAAAUUUCAAACAAGAAGAAUUCAAGAGGAAUAUAUAAUAUAUAUUCAAUCUCGGGUGACCAUAUACAACUUCGAACAAGUUUCCAUACACAAUUAGGAUGGAUGACCAUAUACAACUUCGAACAAGUUUCAAUCUCGGGUAUGCAUAUAAAUUUCUUCGUCCUCGGUAUAGUGUUCUCCUUUAGGAUUGAUGACUUCCCUCAUGAAAAAUCCUGCUAAUUCUUCUUGAAUUGGUCGGAAGCGAGCUUCUGGACUAAGCCUCCUCCGCAAGUUAUCCGUCGCGUUCCGCAUGCUAUCCGAUGCCUUCCGCUCAGAGGUGUGUCUCCGGAUGUUCUCACAAACAUAGUAUCCACAUAGAUUGGUCCCCGGUGGCUGCUUAUCCACAUUAACUAACCUUCUGAAAUCUAGCUCAUGUUUGAAUUCACCGACAAUUUCUUCUGAGAACCGUCUCCAAACCCUACAGGGCAAAGAAAAUUAAAUGAACAAGGGAGUUAUUAGUUACUUGAUAUUAGGAAAUGAACGAAAGAGACCGAUCGAUAUAGAGCUCAAAUGAUUGAAAAUAAUUACUUUUGCAGCAUUUUUCUCAUGUCGGCCCAACGCUUUGGAUCCGAAUCCAUAGAGUCCAUGAUUAGAACUCUGGAGGUGUGAAGUUCAAUAUUUAGCAAAAUCCAGUGGAACCUGCGGACACGUUACAUGCACAGUCAUGCAUAACUCAUCGAUUAGACAUACCAUGCAUGGAGUAAACAAAAGAGAAUGGGCACAAGAGAGAAACACUCACCCAAAAUGGUAAGGAAAUAGAAUAUGACUUUUGAGUUGAUGCUUUCUAAGAAACUUGUACAAGUCUUUCUCCACGUCUUCGGGGUGAUGUUGUAACACAUGUCCAUUAACGAUAUGUGGGUCAAUGAACCCAACAUCAUGGAUGUUUCUUAUUUUGCAUUCCCAAAUCUUCAAUCUGCAUAAUAGCGUACGCAACAAUAUAGUUAGGACAAUAUAUAUAUAUAGUGCAGGCAAUGAAGAACGAGAUGAGGUAGAAAUAAAUCACUUACAGAACGUAGCAACUCAGCAUAGAUUUGUCGAGGUCGUGCAGAUUGAACAGCUGGAACAAUUCACUCAUAUGAACUUCUACAGAGUACCGUUUGGUGUGAUGCUCAUCUGUAACAUCCGCAUAAAUAUAUUCUUUGUCGGCCCAUGUUAUGAAUUGCUUGUACCAACGUAGCAGAUUUCGCAUUUGUGGUGGUAGACUCUUUUCCCGCGCAGGCUCGACGAGAGGCCCAUUCCGCACAUAUUGUAAUGCUAUCUCACAUACUGGCGCAUCCUCAAGGCCUAAGAAGGCACGAAGAGUCAAACCCAUCUCGGACGCUUGUUUCAUGGCACUCGCUACAGUCAAUCCAAGUGCUGCCGCAGCUGCUAUGAUCUCGGGGUCCUCUUCCGGACCGGCUUUCACUAUGAGCGGGGGGAUCGAUUGUUUCUUCUGCAUCCCGAGCUGGUCAACUUGUUUCCCGCUUUUUUUACUUUCUUCUUUCUCCUCCUUCAAUAUUUUUGCUUGCCUACGAAGUUCAUGUCCAUAGUCGUCAGGCAUAAUCAGCUCGGCUUGGGACGGUGUCGUCAAAAAAUCCUUAGCCCACUUCUUUUGCUUCUCAGUGAAUACUUGCUUGGGCUCAGGCUCUUUUUUCGCCUUCAUAUCCGCCUUCCAUUUCUCAUAAUCAGCAGACGCGGCCAAUUUGGUUUCAGCUUCACUAAGUUCCCCAGGCCUUGGGAGGAGAGGCUUCAGUGAUGGCUCCGGUACCCUUGUGGUCUUAGGUACAUAAGGGUCCGGGUUAAUAGUCCAGGAGCGGGUUUCCUUGCUGUCCGCCUGCUUCUGCUUCUUCGCCGGAGGUGGAUUGGGGGGCGUCGUACCCGCCGGAGGAGGAUUGGGGGGCGUCGUACCCGCCGGAGGUUGUGGAUCGGGGGACGGCGUCGAAUGGCGUGAAGGAGGUGUAGGUGAACCACCACGACCACCACCACCGCCACCACCGCCACCACCACCACCACCACCACCAUCGAAGGGGGGUGGACUUGCUAGCCUUGGCGCCUCGCCUGGAAACACUAUGUACUUCUUUUUCCAUAGAAUGAACUGGCGCUUGACAUCUCCAAGUCUUCUCUCCCCUUCGGGUGUAGGUUUGUCAGGUCCUCAAACCCUUGGACUAUGUCUUCCACCGUGACACGAGCAUAGCCAUAUGCAAUGGGGUUGUUGUGGUGGAGUGCUCCAGGUGUACAGGGUAAAGCACUGCCGCUAGCUACCUUCGUGGAAACGUUCCUCACGGGAUAAUGCAGAUCACAUUCUUUCAUCUCCUUUACAUCAUCCACGGGGUAGUGAGGCUCCGGUGCACGAAUCUCGAUCAUCGGUGCACUAGCACCAGGCGGGGCAUCCGUGGAAGCCACGCUGCUUCUCCGCUGCUGGCUUCCGCGAUCCGCUUCAUGAUCUUCAUGCGGCCCUGCAGCCGAUUUUUCAUUCACUAGUUCAUGCACGGUCUGCUUCAACUCAUGGAGUUCCGAUGCAAACUUCGUCAUAAGAUCUGCAUCCCGGUCCGUCUUUCUCUUACGGCUUCUGUAACAGUACGGGUCAUUGUCCUGGGAAAACCCUACUUUCCACGGAACUUUGCCUUUGCCUCGUACACGUCCUCCGUGUUCAUCAUUCCCGAGGGCUGUUGUCAGUGCGUCUUUCUCUCUGUUGAACUUGAUCAAGCCCUCUUGAGCUUGGGUCAUUGCGUCAAUAAGGGCUUGGGUGGGAGCAAACUGUCUCUGCCGGUGAACACACACCCCUGUCUCCGGGUCUAGCGAUCCCCCAUGCCCGUACCACCAGCUUUUGGCCCUUGGGUCCCAUCCCUCUGUACCUAGAGGGAUUCCUCGCACCCUCAGGUCCUCCUCCAUCUUCUGCCACCUAGGCUCCGAAAGGCGGUAUCCUCCUGGCCCCAUAAUAUGAUNNNNNNNNNNNNNNNNNNNNNNNNNNNNNNNNNNNNNNNNNNNNNNNNNNNNNNNNNNNNNNNNNNNNNNNNNNNNNNNNNNNNNNNNNNNNNNNNNNNNNNNNNNNNNNNNNNNNNNNNNNNNNNNNNNNNNNNNNNNNNNNNNNNNNNNNNNNNNNNNNNNNNNNNNNNNNNNNNNNNNNNNNNNNNNNNNNNNNNNNNNNNNNNNNNNNNNNNNNNNNNNNNNNNNNNNNNNNNNNNNNNNNNNNNNNNNNNNNNNNNNNNNNNNNNNNNNNNNNNNNNNNNNNNNNNNNNNNNNNNNNNNNNNNNNNNNNNNNNNNNNNNNNNNNNNNNNNNNNNNNNNNNNNNNNNNNNNNNNNNNNNNNNNNNNNNNNNNNNNNNNNNNNNNNNNNNNNNNNNNNNNNNNNNNNNNNNNNNNNNNNNNNNNNNNNNNNNNNNNNNNNNNNNNNNNNNNNNNNNNNNNNNNNNNNNNNNNNNNNNNNNNNNNNNNNNNNNNNNNNNNNNNNNNNNNNNNNNNNNNNNNNNNNNNNNNNNNNNNNNNNNNNNNNNNNNNNNNNNNNNNNNNNNNNNNNNNNNNNNNNNNNNNNNNNNNNNNNNNNNNNNNNNNNNNNNNNNNNNNNNNNNNNNNNNNNNNNNNNNNNNNNNNNNNNNNNNNNNNNNNNNNNNNNNNNNNNNNNNNNNNNNNNNNNNNNNNNNNNNNNNNNNNNNNNNNNNNNNNNNNNNNNNNNNNNNNNNNNNNNNNNNNNNNNNNNNNNNNNNNNNNNNNNNNNNNNNNNNNNNNNNNNNNNNNNNNNNNNNNNNNNNNNNNNNNNNNNNNNNNNNNNNNNNNNNNNNNNNNNNNNNNNNNNNNNNNNNNNNNNNNNNNNNNNNNNNNNNNNNNNNNNNNNNNNNNNNNNNNNNNNNNNNNNNNNNNNNNNNNNNNNNNNNNNNNNNNNNNNNNNNNNNNNNNNNNNNNNNNNNNNNNNNNNNNNNNNNNNNNNNNNNNNNNNNNNNNNNNNNNNNNNNNNNNNNNNNNNNNNNNNNNNNNNNNNNNNNNNNNNNNNNNNNNNNNNNNNNNNNNNNNNNNNNNNNNNNNNNNNNNNNNNNNNNNNNNNNNNNNNNNNNNNNNNNNNNNNNNNNNNNNNNNNNNNNNNNNNNNNNNNNNNNNNNNNNNNNNNNNNNNNNNNNNNNNNNNNNNNNNNNNNNNNNNNNNNNNNNNNNNNNNNNNNNNNNNNNNNNNNNNNNNNNNNNNNNNNNNNNNNNNNNNNNNNNNNNNNNNNNNNNNNNNNNNNNNNNNNNNNNNNNNNNNNNNNNNNNNNNNNNNNNNNNNNNNNNNNNNNNNNNNNNNNNNNNNNNNNNNNNNNNNNNNNNNNNNNNNNNNNNNNNNNNNNNNNNNNNNNNNNNNNNNNNNNNNNNNNNNNNNNNNNNNNNNNNNNNNNNNNNNNNNNNNNNNNNNNNNNNNNNNNNNNNNNNNNNNNNNNNNNNNNNNNNNNNNNNNNNNNNNNNNNNNNNNNNNNNNNNNNNNNNNNNNNNNNNNNNNNNNNNNNNNNNNNNNNNNNNNNNNNNNNNNNNNNNNNNNNNNNNNNNNNNNNNNNNNNNNNNNNNNNNNNNNNNNNNNNNNNNNNNNNNNNNNNNNNNNNNNNNNNNNNNNNNNNNNNNNNNNNNNNNNNNNNNNNNNNNNNNNNNNNNNNNNNNNNNNNNNNNNNNNNNNNNNNNNNNNNNNNNNNNNNNNNNNNNNNNNNNNNNNNNNNNNNNNNNNNNNNNNNNNNNNNNNNNNNNNNNNNNNNNNNNNNNNNNNNNNNNNNNNNNNNNNNNNNNNNNNNNNNNNNNNNNNNNNNNNNNNNNNNNNNNNNNNNNNNNNNNNNNNNNNNNNNNNNNNNNNNNNNNNNNNNNNNNNNNNNNNNNNNNNNNNNNNNNNNNNNNNNNNNNNNNNNNNNNNNNNNNNNNNNNNNNNNNNNNNNNNNNNNNNNNNNNNNNNNNNNNNNNNNNNNNNNNNNNNNNNNNNNNNNNNNNNNNNNNNNNNNNNNNNNNNNNNNNNNNNNNNNNNNNNNNNNNNNNNNNNNNNNNNNNNNNNNNNNNNNNNNNNNNNNNNNNNNNNNNNNNNNNNNNNNNNNNNNNNNNNNNNNNNNNNNNNNNNNNNNNNNNNNNNNNNNNNNNNNNNNNNNNNNNNNNNNNNNNNNNNNNNNNNNNNNNNNNNNNNNNNNNNNNNNNNNNNNNNNNNNNNNNNNNNNNNNNNNNNNNNNNNNNNNNNNNNNNNNNNNNNNNNNNNNNNNNNNNNNNNNNNNNNNNNNNNNNNNNNNNNNNNNNNNNNNNNNNNNNNNNNNNNNNNNNNNNNNNNNNNNNNNNNNNNNNNNNNNNNNNNNNNNNNNNNNNNNNNNNNNNNNNNNNNNNNNNNNNNNNNNNNNNNNNNNNNNNNNNNNNNNNNNNNNNNNNNNNNNNNNNNNNNNNNNNNNNNNNNNNNNNNNNNNNNNNNNNNNNNNNNNNNNNNNNNNNNNNNNNNNNNNNNNNNNNNNNNNNNNNNNNNNNNNNNNNNNNNNNNNNNNNNNNNNNNNNNNNNNNNNNNNNNNNNNNNNNNNNNNNNNNNNNNNNNNNNNNNNNNNNNNNNNNNNNNNNNNNNNNNNNNNNNNNNNNNNNNNNNNNNNNNNNNNNNNNNNNNNNNNNNNNNNNNNNNNNNNNNNNNNNNNNNNNNNNNNNNNNNNNNNNNNNNNNNNNNNNNNNNNNNNNNNNNNNNNNNNNNNNNNNNNNNNNNNNNNNNNNNNNNNNNNNNNNNNNNNNNNNNNNNNNNNNNNNNNNNNNNNNNNNNNNNNNNNNNNNNNNNNNNNNNNNNNNNNNNNNNNNNNNNNNNNNNNNNNNNNNNNNNNNNNGUCGAUCGGCGUCGGGGCAGGGCUUCGGCGUCGAGAGAGAGGAGAAUGGGAAGUGGCGAAACUGCUAAGUGCAGUAUAUAUAGACGUACCUUUAGUCCCGGUUGGGGAGGCGGACCGGGACUAAAGGGUUUUGGCGCCGCUUUCGUUCCCGCGCAGAAAGACCCUUUAGUCGCGGUUGGGGACAACAACCGCGACUAAAGGGUACCCUUUAGUCGCGGUCCGCCUCCCCAACCGGGAGUAAAGGCAUUGUGCUGGAACUGGCGCGGUGCGGUGGGAUGUUUAGUCCCACCUCGCUAGCCGAGAGGCUUCGACAGUGGUUUAUAAGCGCGGCUGCGCUGACCACUUCGAGCUCCUCUCAAAUGCAGGCUUACGGGCCUAUUCUGUUACUAUGUGCCUGUGGGCCUACUGGGCCUUCUGCAGGCCUGAAUCCUGGCCCAUUGAUGGGUUUCUAGUCGUAUUCAGGCCGUGGUGGCCCAGUAGGUGGCAUAUUUUUUAUUUUUUGCCUGUUUUUUGUUUUCUUUUUUGCUUUAUUUAUUUUGUUUUGUUUCUACUUACAACAAAAAACUUAUUUAUUUUAUUUUAUUUUGUUUCUAAUUACUUAUUUAUUUUACUUUAUGAUAAUUAUUUUUGCUAUUAAAGUUUCUAACAAAAAAAGUUCUUUAUGAAAAUUCUUUUAGCUUUAUUUUUACUUAUCUAUUUUGUUUGUACUUUAUGAUAAUUAUUUUUACUUAUUUAUUUUGUUUGUACUUAUAUAUUUUGAAAAAUCUUAAAAAUACAAUUAUAUAUCAAAAAAAUCAGAAAAAUAAAACUAAUUCAUUUUAAAAUCCCUUGAAGGUUUGACAAAAGGUUUGAUACAUCAUUCAGUUCAUCGACCAAAUACAAAGUUUGGUACAAUAAAUUAUUACACAUCAAUUCUUCCCUUGUGUCCCUGCUUGCUUACGAUUGUGCCGUAUCCAUGGAGCAUCCUCAUCAUUUAACUUAAUGCUUGGGUCAGUGUUUACUUUGAAGGGCGGAAUUUCACCAAACAUAUUAUAAUCUUCUGACAUGUCUGUCUUGUCCUCCACUCCCACGAUGUUUCUUUUCCCUGAAAGAACAAUGUGGCGCUUUGGAUCAUCGCAUGUGUACUGAUCGUUUUCUUAUCUUUCCGUUUCCUCGGUUUGCUACUCAUGUCCUUCAAAUAAAAAACCUGAGCAACAUCUUUGGCAAGGACGAAUGGUUCGUCAAGGUAACCAAGAUUGUUGAAAUCCACCAUUGUCAUUCCGUAUUGCUCGUCCACCUUUACCCCACCUCCUGUUAGCUUGAACCAUUUGCACCGGAACAAAGGGACCUUAAAGGAGGGUCCAUAGUCAAGUUCCCAUAUCUCCUCUAUGUAACCAUAAUAUGUGACCUUUCGCCCAUUCUCGGUUGCUGCAUCAAAGCGGACACCACUGUUUUGGUUGGUGCUCUUUUUAUCUUGGGCGAUGGUGUAAAAUGUAUUCCCAUUUAUCUCGUACCCUUGGAAAAUCGUUAUAGUCGAAGAUGGUUUCUUGGCCAACAUGUACAGCUGAUCUCCAACAUCAUUGUCAUUCAUUAAAUGUUUUCGCAACCAACUGCCGAAAGUCUCCAUGUGGGCCUUUCUAAUCCAGGAUUCAGGCUUCCCCGGGUUGUCCGAGUGUAAAAUAUUCUUGUGUUGCUCGAAGUACGGAGCCACAAAGCUGGAAUUUUGCAGAACUGUGUGGUGUGCUUCAGUCAUAGAAUGACCGUCCAUACAUAUCGUGGAUUUCCUUCCGAUCUUGCCUUUUCCACUUAGUCUCCCCUCGUGCCGCGAUUGAGGAAUACCAAUCGGCUUAAGGUCAGGAACAUAGUCAAUACAGAACUCAAUUACCUCCUCAUUUCCAUAGCCCUUGACGAUGCUUCCUUCUGGCCUAGCACGGUUACGAACAUAUUUCUUUAAUACUCCCAUGAACCUCUCAAAGGGGAACAUAUUGUGUAGAAAUACAGGACCGAGAAUGGAAAUCUCUUCGACUAGGUGGAGCAGGAGGUGCGUCAUAAUAUCGAAGAAGGAUGGUGGGAACACCAACUCGAAACUGACAAGGCAUUGGACCAUCGUUCUGUAACCGUGGUAGAUCUUCUGGAUUGAUUACCUUCUGAGAGAUUGCAUUGAGGAAUGCACAUAGCUUCACAAUGGCUACUCGAACAUUUUCCGGUAGGAGCCCCCUCAAAGCAAUCGGAAGCAAUUGCGUCAUAAUCAGUGGCAGUCGUGAGACUUCAGGUUUUGGAACUUUUUCUCCGCCAUGUUUAUUAUUCCCUUUAUAUUCGACGAGAAGCCAGACGGGACCUUCAUACUGCUCAGGCAUUCAAAAAAAAUGACCUUCUCUUCUUUGGUAAGAGCGUAGCUGGCACGACCUUGAAACCAUUCCGGAUGCCGGUCAUCUGGGUCUUUCAAAAGUUGCUGGUCCUGCCGUGCUUCCUUUGUAUCAUUUGUCUUCCCAUACACGCCCAAGAAGCUUAGCAGGUUCACGCAAAUAUUCUUCGUAACAUGCAUCACGUCGACUGCAGAGCAGACAUCUAGGACUUCCCAAUAUUCUAGCUCCCAAAAUAUAGAUUUCUUCUUCCACAUGGGUGCGUGCCCGUCAACUCCCCGCGGAACUGAUUGUCCGCCAGGACCCUUUCCAAAGAUGACUUUCAAAUCCUUGACCAUAUCAAAUAUCUCAGCACCAGUACGUUCCGCAGGCUUCGGCCGGUGAUCUGCCUUGCCGUUGAAAUGCUUGCCUUUCUUUCUUACGUUAUGAUUUCGGGGAAGAAAUCAACGAUGACCUAGGUACACGUUCUUCUUACAAUUAACCAAACGUACACUUUCAGUCUCAUCUAAGCAGUGCGUGCAUGCAUUGUAUCCCUUAUUUGUCUGUCCUGAAAGGUUACUGAGAGCAGGCCAAUCGUUGAUGGUUACAAAAAGCAACGCUCGUAGGUCAAAUUCCUCUCCUUUGUGCUCAUCCCAGACACGUACACCAGGUCUGGCCCACAACUGUAAAAGUUCAUCAACUAAUGGCCUUAGGUACACAUCGAUGUCGUUCCCGGGUUGCUUUGGACCUUGGAUGAGCACUGGCAUCAUAAUGAACUUCCGCUUCAUGCACAACCAAGGAGGAAGGUUGUAGAUGCAUAGAGUCACGGGAUAGGUGCUAUGGCUGGAGCUCUGCUCGCCAAAAGGAUUCAUGCCAUCAGUACUUAGCCCAAAUCUUAUGUUCCUUGCGUCAGCUGCAAAAUCUUUGAACACUCUGUCGAUCUUUCUCCAUUGCGUUCCAUCAGCGGGGUGUCUCAACUCCCCGUCGGACUUACGGUCCUCUUUGUGCCAUCGCAACGACUUGGCAUGCUUUUUGUUCAUGAACAGACGUUUCAACCGUGGUAUUAUAGGAGCAUACCACAUCACCUUGGCGGGAACCCUCUUCCUGGGUUUCUCGCCCUCAACAUCGUCACCAAGGUCAUCGCCUCUGAUCUUAUAACGCAAUGCAGUGCAUACAGGGCAUUCAUUCAAAUUCUCGUAUUCACCGCGGUAGAGGAUGCAGUCGUUAAUGCAUGCAUGUAUCUUCAGAACCUCUAAACCUAGAGGGCAGACUACCUUCUUUGCUUCGUACGUACUGGCGGGCAACUCGUUAUUCUUCGGAAACAUAUUCUUCAACAUUUUCAGCAAAUUUUCAAAUGAUGAGUCACCUACACCUUCCUGUGCCUUCCAUUUUAGCAAAUCCAGUGUGCAGCCCAGCUUUUUCAGACUAUUAUCGCAUCCUGGAUACAACGACUUUUUGUAAUCCUCUAACAUGCGAUCCAAAUUCUCCCUAUCCUUGUCAGUUUCGCAGCGUCUCCGUGCAUCAGCAAUGGUCCGACCAAGAUCAUCAGCGGGCUCAUCAUGUGCCUCUUCUUCACCUUCACCUAACCCUUCCCCACCUUCAGCAUCAUCCUCCAUGAAAGUAUCACCGAAAUGAUCAUGAUAGUUGUCAUCGAUAUCAUCCCCUUCUUCAUCUUCUUCCAUUCUAACCCCUCUUUCUCCAUGCUUGGUCCAACAAUUAUAGCUUGGCAUGAAACCGUGCCGAAGCAGGUGCAUGUGAACGUCUCUUGAGGAGGAGUAACCCUUCUGAUUCUUACAGACAGCACAUGGACAGAUAAUAAAACCUUGCUGCUUGUUCGCAUUUGCCACUACGAGGAAAUCUUUCAAACCCGUAGUGAACUCGCCGGAGAGUCGGGGACCGUACAUCCAUUGCCGAUUCAUCUGCAUUAUUAUUAUAUAAAGUAUAUAAUUAACCAUCAUGCAUUUGUUAAACUAACUAGCUAGAAAUAAUACAAAUUAAACAAUGAACUACACACAUGCAUAUUUUAUCAAUGACACAUGAAAGGUUCAAGUUGCUAACCGCGAUCGCGGAGGAAAAAUAAAUGAGAAAGCUCAAGUGUGGCUUGGACACUUCAUAUCAUGUUUGUUUCAGGCUCUCAGGCAUUUCAUCGAACACCUUGUGUGCAUAGGAGGAACCAAAAGCAAACCCACCACCCCCUUCUGAAAAUUGUGAAGUGAGCUGAGUGAAGUGAAGUGAGCUGAGUCCUAUAUAUAGGGAUGGGCCUUUAGUCCCGGUUGGCCUGGCCAACUGCGACUAAAGGCUUUCGGGAACCUUUAGUCCCGGUUGGCCAGGCCAACCGGGACUAAAGCCCCUCCCGUCCGCCAGCUGGAUGGGCCUUUAGUCCCGGUUGGCCUGGCCAACCGCGACUAAAGGCCUUCGGGGACCUUUAGUCCCGGUUGGCCAGGCCAACCGGGACUAAAGCCCCUCCCGUCCGCCAGCUGUCGACCGAGCGCGCUGGGCCCAGAUAGUUGGUCGCGGGUCUCCUCCCGAACCGCGACUAAAGACCCCUUUUGUCGCGGUUCGAUUAUUUUGGGGACUAAUGGGGGCGUAUGGAAGCCUAUUUUUCUACUAGUGAUAUAUCGGCCUAUGGCCUCAUGGGAAUACAAGUUGCUUAUUCCUAACACUUUACACCGUCACCGUGGCAAUGCCCACACAAAUUGGAGACAUGACAGAAUUGCAGGUGGUAUCUCAUAUUGCUGGCGACGGCAGUGAACUAAAAUAUCUUGGCUACUUACUCCAGUUGAUUAAGUUGGGUGUGGUUGUCUCUGGAAGUAAAACAUCAUUAGUCUUGAGGCAUUUGUACUAUGCAACUGGAAAUCUUGGAUUUCUUCGCUCACUGUCAAUCCAUUUCGCAGAAACCGAAGAAGAGAAUGAGAAUGUGGACAAGAAAGAUCCAUCCCCAAGAUAUCCAAAGUAUCUUCAUAAGCUAAAAAUCAGUGGCCUGAAAAAUGGAUUGCCGUCAUGGAUUGAAAAACUCAAGGCACUUACCAAAAUGACCCUGCAUAUGGCUUUAAUAACAGAAGAUGACUUCAAAAUCCUUGGUCUGCUCACAAGCUUGUCCUGGCUUAGGCUCCGAGCAGAGUCAUGCAAUGAAAGUACAGUCACCUUCAAAAAAGGUGCAUUUCAGAGUCUUGAGUUCCUUGACAUUGAGCGCUCAGCCAUUACCGGUAUCAACUUUGACAAUGAGGCCUGUCCUAAGCUGAAGAACAUAGCCUGGUCUUCUACUGGUGAACAAUCUCUUUCAGGGAUUGAGCGCCUCCCAAGCCUCGAAAAGCUCGAGUUGACAGGCAGCUUUGAUGUGGAAGGUGUGAAACAAGCAAUUGAAGCAAGCAAGAACUAUAUUAUGUUGGAAUCAUACCCUACCAGGACCAGGUCCGGGGUGUGAUCCACAUUUGCUCCUUGAGUGACCUCACCGGAUGCCUUAAUGCUGCUCUUAUUAUGGGGCAGAAAUGUAUCUCAAGAAAAUAAUUUCAUUCUUCGCGGAUUAUUGCCAUCAAAUUCAGCCCCUGCAUAUUUGAUUUAUUUUGUCGUGCACUGCAGUGACUGAACCGUUGUGUGUAUUUGUUGAGGUCACUCUCAGAUUUCAGUUAUGUGCUGUGUUGUGUCGUGCACGUGUGCUAUUGUUUGCAUUUGUUCACCCAGAAACAUGUAUUUCCUUGAAUAAAAAUCAAGUGUUGUUGCUCUUGUGCGUACAAGGACAAGUACUAGCAUUGUUGUAUUAGGGUGAGUGAUAGCUGACAUCCUAUUGAUGGGCAAAUGUACUACUAUUUGAUUUGUGCAGUUCAGAAUGCCUGCGUCGUUAAUAUGGUUCUAUACCUGCUUCAUCCAAGCAAUAUUCCCCAAUUUGAAUUAAAUCGCUGAAAUUCCAAGCAAAGUUGUGGUUAUAUACACUGUAUCUGUAUGUGUCAAGAAGUGUUAACUGAAGGAGAUCAUGCAUGGUAUUCAGAUAUUGGAAGGUUUGCAAGUUGACACUCUGCUCGAAAAAGGAACCGCACACCACAUCCAUCUCCAGUCAAGAAACUAAAACUAAACUGAAAUUGGAAAGCAUGUACUGUAAUUCUUAUUUUUUUAGCAGGAGAAAAGCAUGUAAUUCUCUCACCUGUGUCAACAACAACCUAGAGACUGAAGGCCAGAUUCCUUAUCCCUUUGAUUGCAUUAUUAGUGGCCGCGGUCUUCUCCAGAGGACGCCCAAAUCGGCUGGCCGGCAGCCCCCCGCCGUGGCUUUGCGGUCGAGGUUUGCGCCCGGCCGGCCGUCCUCCCCUCGCCCUCAGCCCCGGCGCCAGGGGACCCGCGCCCGCCGAGGUCGACGCACAUGGGGGAUGCCGCCACGGCAAGGAGCACUUUCUGUCUCCUCCGGCGAGCCGCUACCUCUCCGCCGCCCAGCCGACCGCGCCUCCGGCCGGAGCCCGCCUCUACCGCCGCCAGCCAGCCGUCGCGAGAAGUGUCGUGUGGCCCUCAGCCCGUCACCGAGGAAAAACGAAAGGAAAAAAAAAGUGAGGCACGCAAGUGUGGGCUCCAUUUGUCAGAGACCGUGUAAAGAAAUCGAGACCGCAAUCCUUUCACUUGACCAACACAACUACUACGCCCUAAGAACAUCUCCGACACUUCUCAAAAAAAAAAAAAAAGAACAUCUCCAACAGGCGUGCUAAACAAGCGCCGCACCGCAAAUUUACCCAUUUUAGCGCGCGCGCAAUCGCUAAUUUGUCUCCAGCGGGCGCACAAUAACCGCGCGCGCGGCAUAUAGAGUUGGGUGCGCGGUCCGAAUCGCUAUCGCGCGCUGCGUAUUUGGGGCGCCCGCUUCCGCGCGUGGCACACACGAGCGCUCGCGCCGCACUCUCUCCCCCGCGCCACCUUCGCCUCGCACGCUCCGGCGCCGGCGAGCUGACGCGAUGGACCCACGCGCCGGCACUCCCCUCACCCAUCCUACAGCCGCGAACCCUCCAGCGCCGCCGCCGCCGCCGCAAACCCUAGCGCUGCGAGCGUUGGCCACGCCUCCGCCGGAGCUCCUCCGAGCAUCGGCCUUGCACGCGGCCUCUUCAUGCCGCCGCGGAUGACCUCGGCGGCUGGUGGCGUCGCGCCGGCGCCCACCUCGACGGCUCCGGCACCUCGAAGCUCCCAAAUGCGCCGCGGCCGAAGAAGGGCAAGACAUCCGCGAAGAAGAAGAAGGCGGCGGACGGCUCCGGCACCUCGAAGGCGCCGAGGAAGAAGCUUGCAGGGCAUGUGACGAGCGCGGCGGCUACCGAAGCGCCGGCGAGCUCACUUGUUGAGCCAGCGGCCGACGCGCACCAUGUGUUCGACGAUAUGCCCCAAAGGUAAAAAAAUUCCCGAACUUUUUUUUCUUCUUUAUUUUUUGAAUGCAUACAUAUAGAUAGCUUAUUGCGUUGUUCUAUAUACUUUGUAGUGUGAACGAUGAUGCAUACAUGUCAACUAUGGGUGUUGGCUCGAACAAUUCGCAUUGGUCUCAAACCAAUGACAUGCAUUUUGAAGACCAUGAGUUCGAGGUGGACGAGGAUGGUGAGGGCAUUGUCGACGCACCGAAAGGAAGAGCGGGCAGUUACACCAACGCCGAAGACAUCUUACUAUACAAUACUUGGUUGCAAGUGUCGAGGGAUCCAUCCGUUGGAGGUGAUCAAAGUAGAGACGCUUAUUGACUCCGGAUGAAAGAACACUUUGAUCUUCGCAACAUGAGUGGAAUUUACCGCUCCGCACGAUCACUUCGCUCCCGGUGGUCGACCAUCAAUAGGGAUUGUCAACAAUGGUCGGCCGCACAAAAAGCGGUUGACAAGUUGAACCCAAGUGGCACCAAUGAUGAUGAUAGGGUAAGUUUGGUUUCAUCAUCCCUCAUGUUCACAUCUCAUGCUUGUUGUUGGUGUUUCUUGUGCUAACUUGUUUUGUUUUCAUGUAGUUGAACAUUACCCAAAACUUGUUCAAAGGAGAGGAGAAGAGGACCAAGAAGGGGAAGAUCAAGAAAGGAAGGCCAUUUACCUUGCCUCAUUGCUAUGAAGUAUUGAAGGAUGAUGAGAAAUGGAAGAAGUGUGAGGAUAUUGAUGAUUUGGAUUUGAGCAAAAAAACGCAAGCGAACAAUUGAGUUGGAAGAUGAUGAUGAGGAUGAUGCAUCAAGUGAAGAUGGAAAGAGAAGCCCCACCCCAAACUCGGUUCCAUACUCGAAGCCAAAACGACCGGAUGACACGAAGAAAGACAAAGAAAAGAAGAAGAGGAAAGGAGAUGAUGAGAUCAAAAAUGGCAAGGAACCAAGAUGCCGCGGCCGAGGAGAGGAGGGUGGCCGCCGAGGAGAGGAAAGUGGCAUUGGAGGAGAGGAAGAUGGCCAUGGAGGAGCGAGCUAAGUUGUUGGAAUGGGAGAAGCACUUGUUCUUCUUGGACACAUCUUUGUUCAAUGAUGCACAAAAGGAGUAUGUCAACCUUGCCCGUGAGGAAGUCUUGAUCCAAAAAAGAGUCAUGAUUGGCGGCAUGGGUGGCGGUGGCCUUGGCGACAUGGGUGGCGGUGGCGGCAUGGGUGGUGGUGGCCUUGGCGGCAUGGGUGCCGGUGGCCUUGGCGGCAUGGGUUCCAUGGGUGGCUUUGGAGCUACCAUGGGCGCAUGGGUUCCAUGGGUGGCUUUCGAGCUACCAUGGAGACCAUGAGAGGCAUGGGUGGCUUUGGAGCACCUCCGGGUGGCUUGGACGGCAUGGGUGGCAUGAGUUUUGCGUCUCUCAUUGGGGGCAUGGGUGCAUCUCCGGGCGCCGGUGUGCCACCUUCGCAUGAAGAUGCUGUUCAAGAUCUUGUCAACACCAUCCGAGCUUCACGCGAUGAAGAUACGGCACGCAAAAAUGAAGAGGAGGAGGAAGAAUCGUCUUCGGAGGAAGAUGAUGAAGACGAAGACGAGGACUGAUACGUCUCCAACGUAUCUAUAAUUUAUGAAGCAUUCAUGCUAUUAUAUUAUCUAUUUUGGAUGUUUACGGGCUUUAUUAUACACUUUUAUAUUAAUUUUGGGACUAACCUAUUAGCCGGAGGCCCAACCCAUAUUGCUGUUUUCUUGCCUAUUUCAGUGUUUCGAAGAAAAGGAAUAUCGAACGGAGUCCAAACGGAAUGAAACCUUCGGGAGCGUGAUUUUUGGAACGAACGUGAUCCAGGAGACUUGGAGUUGAAGUCAAGGAAGCUUCGAGGUGGCCACGAGGGUGGGCCACGCCCCCCUACUGGGCGCGCCCCCUGUCUCGUGGGUCCCUAGUGGCUCCCCUGACCGGCUUCUUUCGCCUAUAUAAGUCCAUAUACCCUAAAAACAUCGAGGAAGACAAUAGAUCGGGAGUUCCGCCGCCGCAAGCCUCUGUAGCCACCAAAAACCAAUCGGGACCCUGUUCCGGCACCCUGCCGGAGGGGGAUCCCUCACCGGUGGCCAUCUUCAUCAUCCCGGCGCUCUCCAUGAUGAGGAGGGAGUAGUUCACCCUCGGGGCUGAGGGUAUGUACCAGUAGCUAUGUGUUUGAUCUCUCUCUCUCUCUCUCUCUCUCUCUCUCUCGUGUUCUUGACUUCGCACGAUCUUGAUGUAUCGCGAGCUUUGCAAUUAUAGUUGGAUCUUAUGAUGUGCCACCUUCGCAUGAAGAUGCUGUUCAAGAUCUUGUCAACACCAUCCGAGCUUCACGCGAUGAAGAUACGGCACGCAAAAAUGAAGAGGAGGAGGAAGAAUCGUCUUCGGAGGAAGAUGAUGAAGACGAAGACGAGGACUGAUACGUCUCCAACGUAUCUAUAAUUUAUGAAGCAUUCAUGCUAUUAUAUUAUCUAUUUUGGAUGUUUACGGGCUUUAUUAUACACUUUUAUAUUAAUUUUGGGACUAACCUAUUAGCCGGAGGCCCAACCCAUAUUGCUGUUUUCUUGCCUAUUUCAGUGUUUCAAAGAAAAGGAAUAUCGAACGGAGUCCAAACGGAAUGAAACCUUCGGGAGCGUGAUUUUUGGAACGAACGUGAUCCAGGAGACUUGGAGUUGAAGUCAAGGAAGCUUCGAGGUGGCCACGAGGGUGGGCCACGCCCCCCUACUGGGCGCGCCCCCUGUCUCGUGGGUCCCUCGUGGCUCCCCUGACCGGCUUCUUUCGCCUAUAUAAGUCCAUAUACCCUAAAAACAUCGAGGAAGACAAUAGAUCGGGAGUUCCGCCGCCGCAAGCCUCUGUAGCCACCAAAAACCAAUCGGGACAAUGUUCCGGCACCCUGCCGGAGGGGGAUCCCUCACCGGUGGCCAUCUUCAUCAUCCCGGCGCUCUCCAUGAUGAGGAGGGAGUAGUUCACCCUCGGGGCUGAGGGUAUGUACCAGUAGCUAUGUGUUUGAUCUCUCUCUCUCUCUCUCUCUCUCUCUCUCUCUCUCUCUCGUGUUCUUGACUUCGCACGAUCUUGAUGUAUCGCGAGCUUUGCUAUUAUAGUUGGAUCUUAUGAUGUUUCUCCCCCCUCUACUCUCUUGUAAUGGAUUGAGUUUUCCCUUUGAAGUUAUCUUAUCGGAUUGAGUCUUUAAGGGUUUGAGAACACUUGAUGUAUGUCUUGCCGUGCUUAUCUGUGGUGACAAUGGGAUAUCACGUGAUCCACUUGAUGUAUGAUUUGGUGAUCAACUUGCGGGUUCCGCCCAUGAACCUAUGCAUAGGGGUUGGCACACGUUUUCGUCUUGCCUCUCCGGUAGAAACUUUGGGGUACUCUUUGAAGUAUUUUCUGUUGGUUGAAUAGAUGAAUAUGAGAUUGUGUGAUGCAUAUCGUAUAAUCAUACCCACGGAUACUUGAGGUGACAAUGGAGUAUCUAGGUGACAUUAGGGUUUUGGUUGAUUUGUGUCUUAAGGUGUUAUUCUAGUAUGAACUCUAUGAUAGAUUGAACGGAAAGAAUAGCUUCCUGUGAUUUUACUACGGACUCUUGAAUAGAUCGAGCAGAAAGAAUAACUUUGAGGUGGUUUCGUACCCUACCAUAAUCUCUUCGUUUGUUCUCCGCUAUUAGUGACUUUGGAGUGACUCUUUGUUGCAUGUUGAGGGAUAGUUAUAUGAUCCAAUUAUGUUAUUACUGUUGAGAGAACUUGCACUAGUGAAAGUAUGAACUCUAGGCCUUGUUUCCUAGCAUUGCAAUACCGUUUACGCUCACUUCUAUCAUUAGUUACCUUGCUGUUUUUAUAUUUUCAGAUUACAAAAACCUAUAUCUACCAUCCAUAUUGCACUUGUAUUGGGUGUGUUGGGGACACAAGAGACUCUUUGUUAUUUGGUUGCAGGGUUGUUUGAGAGAGACCAUCUUCAUCCUACACCUCCCACGGAUUGAUAAACCUUAGGUCAUCCACUUGAGGGAAAUUUGCUACUGUCCUACAAACCUCUGCACUUGGAGGCCCAACAACGUCUACAAGAAGAAGGUUGUGUAGUAUACAUCAAGCUCUUUUCUGGCGCCGUUGCCGGGGAGGUGAGUGCUUGAAGGUAUAUCUUUAGAUCUUGCAAUCGAAUCUUUUUGUUUCUUGUUUUAUCACUAGUUAGUUUAUAAAAGAAAACUACAAAAAAAAUGGAAUUGAGUUUGUCUCAUACGCUUCAUCUUUUUAAUAUCUUUCGUAAGUAUGAUGAAAAGGAAAAUUGUGCUCAAGUGCUAGAAGAAGAAGUCUAUAAAAUGUUUGGCACUAAAUCUUUGAAUGAUGAGCAUGAUUGCAAUGUUUUUAGUAUGAAUUCUUUGAAUAUCCAUAGUACUAAUGAUGAUUGCACUAGUUAUGAUGAAAAUAUCUCUUAUAAGCAUGUCGAUUUUUGUGGAGUGCAUUGGAUUUGCAAGUAAACACCAAAUAGGGAAGAUAGAUAUUGCAAGAGGCAUAAGCAUUUAGAAACCAAAUUGUUGCAAGAAAGGCUAGAUAAGAAUGCUGAAAAUUUACAUUUCUUUUGUUGUACUUGUGAACUUUGCAAUGAACGUGGUCAUUUACAUCUUCGAUGUAAAUUGUUUCAUGAUCGAAUCGUGUCCUAGAAUUGUGAUGAUUUGAUUUCCCUUGCACAUCAUAAUGAACUCAAUUUGCUUUUGGGUUAUGAAGAAAUGAAAUGUUUAACUAAGCAUCUUCCAGAAUUUGCCCUUAAGAAACUCCUUGAUUUUGAUCUAGAGAAGAUUUAUUUAUUUUGUGCGGUGAAUUGCAUUGAAAAUCCUUAUAUUGUCAAUUACCUAAAGAAAAGAAAGCAAAUAGAAGAUGAAGAGAACACUAAUGAAAGGGAAGAGACUUCCCAAUAUCCUCCUAUUAUUUCUUAUGACGAAUCAGGUAACGAGGAGGAGCUUUCUAUUGAACCAAUCUCAUUAAUAAGGAGCUCAAAUAAGAAGGUUAAACCCACACAUGAUGAGAAGAAGAAAAAGAAAAAACGGAGAAGCAAAGGUAAAAAGGUAUCCCUCCCAAAUGAUGUUGCUCCUACUACUCAUUGUGAUGAUGAUAAUUGCUAUACUAUUGGUGCUAUCCAUACUAUUAAUGAUGAGAGUGAUUAUGCUUAUGAAAUGAAAAGGCCCAAGCUUGGGGAAGCUAUGUUUGAUGACAAUGACAUAUUUGAGAAUAUAGUUGCUGAAAUUAAUGUUUUUCCCAAGCUUGGGGAUGCUACAUUUAAUGAAGAUGAUAUUUUUAGCCUCCCAAGUUUUGAUAUGCAAAGUUGUUAUGAUGAUAGCAUGCCUCUUACCUAUGAUGAUUAUAUUGAUGAAAGUGGGUUUGGAAGAGUGUCAACUUUACGAAGUAAUGAUCCCACUAUUUUGGAGGAUGUUGAAUCUUAUAAUAUUUAUGAAAGUGGAUUUGGAGAGGUCAUGACUUUAUUUAGUGAUGAAUCCACUAUUUCGGAAGAGGUUCCAAUUGAUUAUGAGAACAAAGUUGCUAUCUAUGAUGAUUAUUGUGAUGACAUGUAUGCUAUAAAGAACAAUGAUAACCAUGAAACUUGUCAUCACGAUUUUAGUUUUCAAUUGGAUUAUGCUUCACAUGAUAGUUAUUUUGUUGAGUUUGCUCCCACUACUAUUCAUGAGAACAAAUUUGCUUAUGUGGAGAGUAAUAAAAUUUCUAUGCUUGUGGAUCAUGAAAAGAAUGCAUUAUGUGAUGGUUAUAUUCUUGAAUUCAUUCACGAUGCUACUGAAAAUUGUCAUGAGGGAGGAACAUAUGCUUGUAGGAAUUGCAAUAAUAUCAAGUUUCCUCUCUAUGUGCUUAAAGUUUCAAAGUUAUGCUUGUUUUGCCUUCCUAUGCUAGUUGAUAAUUGUUCCCAUAAGUUGUUUGCUCACAAAAUCCCUAUGCAUAGGAAGUGGGUUAGACUUAAAUGUGCUUGCCAUGUUCUUCAUGAUGCUCUCUUUAUGUUUCAAUUCUUAUCUUUUAUGCGAGAGCAUCAUUGAAAUCAUCAUGCCUAGCUAGGGGCGUUAAACGUUAGCGCUUGUUGGGAGGCAACCCAAUUUUAUUUUUGUUCCUUGCUUUUUGUUCCUGUUUAGUAAUAAAUAAACCAUCUGGCUUCUGGUUAGACGUGGUUUUAGUGCCAAGUAAGACCUAUAGGAUCUUCUUGGAUGAUAAUUAUUUGAUCUUGCUGAAAAACACAGAAACUUUCUGCUCACGAAAACAAUUGUUAAAAAUCACUAGAAAGUGAUAAAACACUGAUUCCAAUUGAAGUAGAUCAAUAAUCAAAUUAUCUAGGUUUUCCUAUUUUGGCAGAUUUUUCUGAGUUUCAGAAGUUUGCGUUUGAUACAGAUUACUACAGACUGUUUUGUUUUUGACAGAUUCUGUUUUCUAUGUGUUGUUUGCUUAUUUUGAUGAAUCUAUGAGUAGUAUCGGAGGGUAUGAACCAUAGAGAAGUUGGAAUACAGUAGGUUUAACACCAAUAUAAAUAAAGAAUGAGUUCAUUACAGUACCUUUAAGUGGUGGUUUGUUUUAUUUCGCUAACGGAGCUUAUGAGUUUUCUGUUAAGUUUUGUGUUGUGAAGUUUUCAAGUUUUGGGUAAAGAUUCAAUGGACUAUGGGAUAAGGAGUGGCAAGAGCCUAAGCUUGGGGAUGCCCCGGAUGGCAUCCCCUCUUUCGUCUUCGUUCAUCGGUAACUUUACUUGGAGCUAUAUUUUUAUUCACCACAUGAUAUGUGUUUUGCUUGGAGCGUCAUUUUAUUUUGUUAGUAUUUUCUUGAUGUUAUCUAGAAUAAUGUUUUGCAUCUCUAUUUUGAAUAAAAAUGUGAAGGAUAGCCUUUACCAUGCUUAUUUUGCAAGUAUACAUGUUGCUGUUUCAAAACAGAAAGUUUACCGCUGUUGCGAAAAUUCCCUAGAAAAGUCAGAAUGUGAUAAAAUGUUGAAACCUUUUGCAUAAUAAGAUCUGAUAAAUUUAAUACAGUGGUAAUUUUCUUUCAUAAUUUUUGGAGUUAGGUAAGUAUGAUGAAUCUUGCAUUCUUUACAGACUAUACUGUUUUGGCAGAUUGCUGUUAUGUUUGCAUCGUCUGCAUAUGUUUGCUUGUUUAAUGAUUCUAUUUGAGGAUACGAGUAUCAAAUAUGCAGAGGCAUUUAGUAUGCAAUGUUGAAUAAUAAUUUUAGUGAUUUGCUACAGUAGAGUAUGAUAAGGUUUUUGCAUUGGUUUAUACUAACUUAUCUCAUGAGUCCUUGUUGAGUUUUGUGUGGAUGAAGUUUUUGAGAUUUAGGGAGAUCGUGAUAUAAAAGGAAUUAAGGAGACACAAAAGCUCAAGCUUGGGGAUGCCCAAGGCAUCCCUAGAUAGUAUUUCAAGAAGUCUUAAGCAUCUAAGCUUGGGGAUGCCCCGGUUGGCAUCCCACCUUUCUUCUUCGACAACUAUCGGUUAGUAUCGGUUGAGCCUAAGUUUUUGCUUCUUCACAUGAGUUGUGCUAUCCUUGCAAUGUCAUUUUAUUUUGCUUUGCUUGUUGUUUGAAUAAAAUACCAAGAUCUGACAUUCUUAAAUGAGAGAGAGUCUUCACAUAGUUACAUAAUUAUUUAACUACUCAUUGAUCUUCACUUAUAUCUUUUUGGAGUAGUUUGCCAUUUACUCGUGAGCUUCACUUAUAUCCUAUGAGUAAAUUGUUGAAUGAGUUGAAUGUCCUAAAUCUGAAAUUAUAUAUGUUUCAUAUGAUUACCCCAUUGGGAGUAAUGACUUUACAUCUAAGAAGUAGAGGUUGUAAAUUUAUUGAAGGUUAGCAAACAUUGUAUUGGUCACUUGAACAAUUCAUGUAGAAUAUUGAAGGAAGAGAGAUUUCACAUAUAAAUAUACUAUCUUAGACAUCUUCUAUGAUUGUGAGCCCCAUUAAUUAUUUUCAAACCCGAGCAAAUUAGUUGAAAUUGGACAAGGAAGACAACGUAAUGAGUUAUGCUUGGGUAUAUUUGUAUAGAAGUUAUAUUGUUAUAGAUCCUCCAACAUGUGGUGCCUGCUUUUUAGAAUCCUUUGCUAGCCAAAAUAUCUGUACUAAGCGGGAAUACUGCUUGUGCAUCCAAAUCCCUUAAACCAAGUUUCUUCCAUGAGUGUCCACCAUACCUACCUAUAUGUGGUAUUUACCUGCCGUUCUAAGUAAAUUUGCAUGUGCCAAACUCUAAACCUUCAAAUAAUAAUCUGUUUUGUAUGCCCGAAUCGCUCAUGUAGCGACUAGGGGCUGUCAGUAUAUUCCAUGCUAGGUGGGUUAUUCUCAAGAUGAGUGGACUCUGCUCAUCAUUCACGAGAAAAAUGACUAGUAACCGGGAUGCCCAGUCCCAUGAUCAAAAGAUCAAAAUCAAAUCAAAAAUAAUUGCAAACAAAACUCCCCCAGGAUUGAUGUUAGUUGGAGGCACCCUUUGUUUCGGGCAAGCCAUGGAUUGAUGAUUGUUGGUGGAGGGGGAGUAAAAACUUUACCAUUUUGUUUGGGAACCGCCUAUAAUGUAUGUAGUAUGGAAGCUAUUGGGAACUCUUGGUUGUUAUGUUGACAAUGAGAUCAUACCUCUCAAAAUUAUUUAUCUCUAUUUCAAAAUCGAGCUCUGGCACCUCUGCAAAUCCCUGCUUCCCUCUGCGAAGGGCCUCUCUUUUACUUUUAUGCAAGAGUCAGUAGUAUUCCUUCUCAUUCCUACCUACUCUUUAGUUGGCAAGCAUUGUGUGUUGGGGAAAGAUCUAAGCAUAUAUGGCCAUGCAAAUAUAUUCGAUCAUGAAUUAUUGUUGUUGACAAUUAUCUAUAUGAUAAGUGAGUUGGGAGGCGAAACACUAAGCCCCUAUCUUUCUCUGUGUUCGAUGGAUGCUAUUUGUUCUAAGAAUAUGCUUUGAGUGGUAGCAAUCAUGGAAGACUAUAUGAUAGUUGAGUAUGUGGAGUUUGCUAAAUCAAAGCUCUGACAUAGACCCUUCCUGAAAAUAAGAUUGAUUGUAAUUGUUUGAUGACUAAGAAUGAAGUUUGCUAGUUUUCAAGAAAGUUUAUGGUCUAUACUUUAACAUGUGAAUAGCUUGUUACUUGAUCUUGAGAAGUUUUAUGAGAUGAACUACUGUUAUGACAUAUAAUCAUGCUAGAAAAGGUGAUUGAAAUUAUCAUUGAUCAAACUUGUGCACCUGCUAGCAUUCACACUUCAUAAAUUCUUUCUUUUAUCAUUUACCUACUCGAGGACGAGCAGGAAUUAAGCUUGGGGAUGCUGAUACGUCUCCAACGUAUCUAUAAUUUAUGAAGCAUUCAUGCUAUUAUAUUAUCUGUUUUGGAUGUUUACAGGCUUUAUUAUACAUUUUUAUAUUAUUUUUGGGACUAACCUAUUAACCGGAGGCCCAACCCAUAUUGUUGUUUUCUUGCCUAUUUCAGUGUUUCGAAGAAAAGGAAUAUCAAACGGAGUCCAAACGGAAUGAAACCUUCGGGAGCGUGAUUUUUGGAACGAACGUGAUCCAGGAGACUUGGAGUUGAAGUCAAGGAAGCUUCGAGGUGGCCACGAGGGUGGGCCACGCGCCUCCCCUACUGGGCGCGCCCCCUGUCUCGUGGGCCCUCGUGGCUCCCCUGACCGACUUCUUUCGCCUAUAUAAGUCCAUAUACCCUAAAAAUAUCGAGGACGACAAUAGAUCGGGAGUUCCGCUUCCGCAAGCCUCUGUAGCCACCAAAAACCAAUCGGGACCCUGUUCCGGCACCCUCCCGGAGGGGGGAUCCCUCACCGGUGGCCAUCUUCAUCAUCCCGGCGCUCUCCAUGACGAGGAGGGAGUAGUUCACCCUCGGGGCUGAGGGUAUGUACCAGUAGCUAUGUGUUUGAUCUCUCUCUCUCGUGUUCUUGACUUCGCACGAUCUUGAUGUAUCGCGAGCUUUGCUAUUAUAGUGGGAUCUUAUGAUGUUUCUCCCCCCUCUACUCUCUUGUAAUGGAUUGAGUUUUCCCUUUGAAGUUAUCUUAUCGGAUUGAGUCUUUAAGGGUUUGAGAACACUUGAUGUAUGUCUUGCCGUGCUUAUCUGUGGUGACAAUGGGAUAUCACGUGAUCCACUUGAUGUAUGUUUUGGUGAUCAACUUGCGGGUUCCGCCCAUGAACCUAUGCAUAGGGGUUGGCCCACGUUUUCGUCUUGACUCUCCGGUAGAAACUUUGGGGUACUCUUUGAAGUAUUUUCUGUUGGCUGAAUAGAUGAAUCUGAGAUUGUGUGAUGCAUAUCGUAUAAUCAUACCCACGGAUACUUGAGGUGACAAUGGAGUAUCUAGGUGACAUUAGGGUUUUGGUUGAUUUGUGUCUUAAGGUGUUAUUCUAGUAUGAACUCUAUGAUAGAUUGAACGGAAAUAAUAGCUUCCCGUUAUUUUACUACGGACUCUUGAAUAGAUCGAGCAGAAAGAAUAACUUUGAGGUGGUGUUUCGUACCCUACCAUAAUCUCUUCGUUUGUUCUCCGCUAUUAGUGACUUUGGAGUGACUCUUUGUUGCAUGUUGAGGGAUAGUUAUAUGAUCCAAUUAUGUUAUUAUUGUUGUGAGAACUUGCACUAGUGAAAGUAUGAACCAUAUGCCUUGCUUCCUAGCAUUGCAAUACCGUUUACGCUCACUUUAUCAUUAGUUACCUUGCUGUUUUUAUAUUUUCAGAUUACAAAAACCUAUAUCUACCAUCCAUAUUGCACUUGUAUCACCAUCUCUUCGCCGAACUAGUGCACCUAUACAAUUUACCAUUGUAUUGGGUGUGUUGGGGACACAAGAGACUCUUUGUUAUUUGGUUGCAGGGUUGUUUGAGAGAGACCAUCUUCAUCCUACGCCUCCCACGGAUUGAUAAACCUUAGGUCAUCCACUUGAGGGAAAUUUGCUACUGUUUUACAAACCUCUGCACUUGGAGGCCCAACAACGUCUACAAGAAGAAGGUUGUGUAGUAGACAUCAAGGACGAGGCUUGAUUCUUGUGUCUUUCGUUUGUGUCAUCACAAACUUAGUUUGCAUGUUGAACUUGGUUUAAUUAUGUUGUGGGCAUGAACUUUUGGGCACGAACUUGGUUGGAAUGAUGUUUGAUUCAAUAUAUGCCAUGUGUUUUGUGUUGAAGUGUGAAAUUUGUGCACAAAAUGUGUGCGCCGACUGCUCGCGCGCGCUGCAUUUUAGCGCGCUGCUGGAGCAGCGCGCGCUGCAUUUUAGCGCUCCUGCUGGAGCAAGCGCUGCGCGGCGCGUCAAACCUGGCGUUGCGCGCGGCGCAAACCAGAUUUUAGCACGCCGCGCAUUGGGCGCCUGUUGGAGAUGCUCUAAGGAACAUCUACUCCCUCCCCUCCUUUUUAAUUCGCAUAUAAGUUUUGUCCGAAGUCAAACUAUCUCUACUUUGAUAAAACUUAUAAGAAAAAGUACCAACAUUCACAACGCCAAAUCAAUAUUGUUAGAUUCAUUAUGAAAUGUAUAUAUAUUUGGUAUUGUAGAUGUUAAAAUUUGGUCAAACUUUAUAAAGUUUGACUUGACAGAAAUCUAAUAUGCAGAGUAAAAAAGACCGGACGGAGUACAACAGUCGGUCGGACCAUCAUUUUCGGGGAGGAUGAGGCCGUUUGCUGUGGCACAACGUGUCACUUAGCAACGAGUGGCUCCACUACGUUUUGAUAAAUAAAAAAGUCAAAAGGAAGUGUUGAUAUUGGCUUGGAAUUUGAAAAGAUCAUGUUAUCCAAUCGUACGCAGACACAUGGUACUCCCUUCUUGCAUUAUGGGACGGAGGCAGUAACUCACAUUGGUUGUGUAUGCCGUGAUGAUGCACAUGUCCAUUUCAGCAUUAUGUCACGCCAGUGUUGUCUCAACGAAUCGUUAGGUUUCGUACCGAGUGGGAUAAAUCUUUGAUCAUAGAACGCAACCCUGUUUGUCCACCUCGACACAAUUAGCUGGUGCAAUUCGGCGCAUGCCGUUCCAUCUGCCUUUCAGUGCUUCGGAAGCAAAUCCAAUUUUUUUGGAAGCCUGAACGAACAGGCCGCCUGCACUUCCCCUCCUUGUCCUUGCUCCUCCCCCAUGUCUAUAAUAGUGGCGUGGAUCCGAUUUCCGUGUACAGUGCUCCUCCGGCAACGCCGCCGGCCCGGCUCAGACAACUUCAGUCGAACGAUGAAGAAGAGCUUAUCACACAACUUCUUAGCAUUUCUUGUGUACUCUGAAAUUCUCUUACGAUGGUAACUCAUCGAGAUUAAUUUCUCUCUUAAUAGAAGGCUUCGGGAGACUAGCUGCGGUGACAUGUUUUCCACACACACAAAAAAAGUUGCGGUGACAUUUGAUGCACUUUGCUUACGAUCCACUGGGUGACCUUGAAGUGGCCCCAUCAUUAUCAGAAUCUAGUGAACGGUUUAUAUUUGAAUCAUACCUUUCAUAGCCUAGAUCAAUCAAAGUCCAUUGAGAAAAACAAUUAGAAAACAUGGGAAAAAAUUCAUUAUCACGCUAGGCUACUAGGGUAGGUCGAACAUGCACAAGAGGAAGAAGAUGUGGCAAUAAUAAUUACCUUAAUUUUCGGGCUACGGGUUAGUUUGGUUGCCACCCUGGGCUGCGUGCCUGGAAAGAAGUCGUGCCACCCUAUGCUGCGUGCCUGGGUUAGUUUGGUUGCCACCCCAGUGAGGGCCACGUGUCAUGCAAGCGGAGUCCCGCACCCGUUCUUCAAUUUUUUGGAUCCCUUCCUUUCGUAUUAUUGCUUUGUUUUGACGGGGAGACACCGUGACAUCCCGUUUUGGCGUGACGUCGAAUUUUUCCGACCCAAAAUGGGGAAAAGUGUCCACGACGGAGAGCGUCUCAAAGCGCUCCCGGAUGUGUAAAACGGGUAUAGGCACGUAGCACCGAGUUAGAUGGCCCACAAUCCCGGGGUCGUGUCGAAAAUUAGGGGCAAAACGGGCAUUUCUUUCGUCUCUGGCAAUGUAGGAUAGCCUUCGGGAGGACUAUGCAACCGGGGCAUGGGGGCUCCGUCCCAGGAACCACCGCCCGCUGCGGUCGAGGGGGUGCCUGUCAGUGUCAAAACCGGCGGAUCUCGGGUAGGGGGUCCCGAACUGUGCGUCUAAGGUCGAUGGUAACAGGAGACAAGGGACACGAUGUUUACCCAGGUUCGGGCCCUCUCUAUGGAGGUAAUACCCUACUUCCUGCUUGAUUGAUCUUGAUGAAUAUGAGUAUUACAAGAGUUGAUCUACCACGAGAUCGUAAUGGCUAAACCCUAGAAAUCUAGCCUGUAUGACUAUGGUAAUGAGUAUAUCCUCAUCCGGACUAAGUCCUUCAGUUUAUAUAAGCACCAGGAGGAUCUAGGGUUACACAGGUCGGUUACAAGGAAGGGAAUCUACAUAUUUGGUCGCCAAGCUUGCCUUCCACGCCAAGGAGAGUCCCAUCCGGACACGGGUGCAGUCUUCGGUCUUCGUAUCUUCACAGCCCAUCAGUCCGGCCCAUGGCUAACAGGCCGGACGCCCGAGGACCCCUUAGUCCAGGACUCCCUCAGUAGCCCCUGAACCUGGCUUCAAUGACAAGGUAUCCGGCGCGUAGAUCUGUCUUCGGCAUUGCAAGGCGGGUUCCUCCUUCCGAACUCGAAGAUAGUCUUUGGACGUAUUGAAUGUGUCCGGACCUGUAACACGCACCACACAACCGCAGAGGGAAUAUAAUCGUGUCCCAUCUACUAACAACUUUUUGCAAGAUGACAUCACAUUUGUUCGGUCACUAUAUCGAACCAUUUUCGUCUGCCGCUCCGUGUUUCAAGACGCGGUUUCCAUUGGCACGUCUUGUCAAAGCAGAGAUCGUGCCCCCUUAUUGCGGGAUUCUCAUCAAUUCGGGCGUGGGUAACCCAACCAUGCAUGUUUACACAGCCCUUGGGAAUAGGCGAGUUUUAAGGCGAGUGGGGAGGCGUUCAAUAUUCACUGCCUUUAUAAGGGGAUAAGGAUUCCCCCUUCUUCUCCCACGCCUUCUCUCUUCCUUCAUCCUUCCACUCUUGAGCUCCAGCGCCCAUGUUCUCAUCUUCUUCCCACUCAAGCCGGCACUCAACCAUGUUCGGAACCGGAGGCCAAGGCAAGUGGAUGGCCUCCUCCGUCAAGGAGAAGGACAUUACUGAGCUUCGGGCGGCCAGGUACUUGGCGAAGGAAACCGCCCACCGCCUUCCAGCCCAGGGACAAGUCGUCCCCGUGUCGAAGCCGAACGAGAGGGUGGUAUUCAUCCCUCAUUUCUUCCGCGGGCUAGGGUUUCCACUCCACCCUUUCGUCUGUGGGCUGAUGUACUAUUAAGGGAUAGACUUCCAUGAACUAUCCCCGAACUCCUUCCUCAACAUCUCGGCGUUCAUCGUCGUGUGUGAGGCCUUCCUCCGUAUCCAACCCCACUUCAGGCUGUGGCUCAAAGUUUUGAACGUGAAGCCGAAGGUGGUGGAUGGCCAGCAUGCUGAGUGCGGAGGAGCCAUGGUGAGUAAGCUGUCCAAUGUCUUCUGGCCGAAAGGCACUUCCAUGGAGACUGUCAAGGAAUGGCAGAAACAAUGGUUCUAUAUUACGGAACCCCGAGGCACCAACUGGGCCGCAGCUGCCGAAUUCAACCCCGGUGCUCCAACGCGGCUCACCUCCUGGGUCGAGAAGAGCCCGAACUGGUGUUCGCCAGACGAGCUGAUAGCGCUGCAGACGCGCAUUCAGAGCAUGGUGGACAAGAAUGUCAAACUUGUCAAUGUAAUCCAGGUGAUGCUAGUUCGCCGGAUUCUCCCGUGCCAAAAGCCGAAGCUUCCCGCAAUGGAAGUUCAAUCCGAAGAAGCACCAUACCCUGAAGAGGCUCUUCGAGACUACUCACAAAGAUGCUUGGAGGUUGCUCUUCAAGGGCAACGAGACACCACCAGCCACGGAUUCGGACCGUGGGCAUGAUGUUGACCACCCUGCCAGCGAGGUGAGUUUUUAAUGCGUCCUCAACUUGUUUGUUUCAAGGAGGAUAUCUGAAUUUUUAUUGCCAUUUCUUCUUCAGGGAUGGAUGGAGAGGGCGAAGAAGCUCCAGUGCCCGGCUCCGCUGCCUGAAGAACCAGUCAUUCCGCGUCUAGCGAAGAUGCUGGUGUCGGCGCCCUAUACGGUGCCGGCGAAGAAGGCCAAGGGGGUCCGGAGCAGCCUCCGCCGCAAGGGUGCUACGGAUGCGACGUCUGCAGACAAGACCCGUUCCUCCGUCGCCGAAGACGACGACGAUGAAGAGGAGGAGAAGGAGGAGGAGAGCGACUCUCCCCCUGAUGGAGGGAGAAAGAAGAGGGCGGCCUCCACAAUUCUGGAGACGGAGGCGCCCAAGAGGGGGAAAGGCCAGCCUGCGGGCUGCUUCGUAUGGGACGUCGACAGCAGUCCGGAGCAACGCCCCCUGCUACCUCUUGAGCACUGCGUUGGUUUUCCCUUGAAGAGGAAAGGGUGAUGCAGCAAAGUAGCAUAAGUAUUUCCCUCAGUUUUUGAGAACCAAGGUAUCAAUCUAGUAGGAGGCUACGCGCGAGUCCCUCGUACCUACACAAAACAAAUAAAUCCUCGCAACCAACGCGAUAAGGGGUUGUCAAUCCCUUCACGGUCACUUACGAGAGUGAGAUCUGAUAGAUAUGAUAGGAUAAUAUUUUUGGUAUUUUUAUGAUAAGAUGCAAAGUAAAAUAAAAGCAAAGUAAAAAGCAAAAGGAAAUAAAUAAGUGUUGGAAGAUUAAUAUGAUGAAGAUAGACCCGGGGGCCAUAGGUUUCACUAGUGGCUUCUCUCAAGAGCAUAAGUAUUUUACGGUGGGUGAACGAAUUACUGUUGAGCAAUUGACAGAAUUGAGCAUAGUUAUGAGAAUAUCUAGGUAUGAUCAUGUAUAUAGGCAUCACGUCCGAGACAAGUAGACCGACUCCUGCCUGCAUCUACUACUAUUACUCCACUCAUCGACCGCUAUUCAGCAUGCAUCUAGAGUAUUAAGUUCAUGAAAACAGAGUAACGCCUUAAGCAACAUGACAUGAUGUAGAGGGAUAAAUUGAUGCAAUAUGAUAAAAACCCCAUCUUGUUAUCCUCGAUGGCAACAAUACAAUACCUGCCUUGCUGCCCCUACUGUCACUGGGAAAGGACACCGCAAGAUUGAACCCAAAGCUAAGCACUUCUCCCAUUGCAAAAAAGAUCAAUCUAGUAGGCCAAACCAAACUGAUAAUUCGAAGAGACUUGCAAAGAUAACCAAUCAUACAUAAAAGAAUUUAGAGAAGAUUCAAAUAUUGUUCAUAGAUAAUCUUGAUCAUAAACCCACAAUUCAUCGAUCUCAACAAACACACCGCAAAAAGAAGAUUACAUCGAAUAGAUCUCCACGAGAGAGGGGGAGAACAUUGUAUUGAGAUCCAAAAAGAGAGAAGAAGCCAUCUAGCUACUAACUAUGGACCCGAAGGUCUGAAGUAAACUACUCACACUUCAUCGGAGAGGCUAUGGUGUUGAUGUAGAAGCCCUCCAUGAUGGAUGCCCCCUCCGGCGGAGCUCCGGAACAGGCCCCAGGGUGGGAUCUCGUGGAUACAGAAGGUUGCGGCAAUGGAAUUAGGUUUUUGGCUCCUGUUCUGAUCGUUUGGGGGUACGUAGGUAUAUAUAGGAGGAAGGAGUACGUCGGUGGAGCAACAGGGGGCCCACGAGGGUGGAGGGCGCGCCCCCUACCUCGUGGCCUCCUGGAAGCUUCUCUUACGUAGGGUCCAAGUCUCCUGGAUCUUGUUCGUUCCAAAAAUCACGCUCCUGAAGGUUUCAUUCCGUUUGGACUCCGUUUGAUAUUCUUUUUCUGCGAAACUCUGAAAUAGGCAAAAAACAGCAAUUCUGGGUUGGGCCUCCGGUUAAUAGGUUAGUCCCAAAAAUAACAUAAAAGUGAAUAAUAAAGCCCAAUAAUGUCCAAAACAGAAGAUAAUAUAGCAUGGAGCAAUCAAAAAUUAUAGAUACAUUGGAGACGUAUCAAGCAUCCCCAAGCUUAAUUCCUGCUCGUCCUCGAGUAUGUAAAUGAUAAAAACAGAAUUUUUGAUGCGGAGUGCUACUAGGCAUAAUUUCAAUGUAAUUCUUCUUAAUUGUGGUGUGAAUAUUCAGAUCGGAAAGAUUCAAGAUAAAAGUUCAUAUUGAAAUAAAAAUAAUAAUACUUCAAGCAUACUAACCAAGCAAUUAUGUCUUCUCAAAAUAACAUGGCCAAAGAAAGUUCAUCCCUACAAAAUCAUAUAGUUUAGUCAUGCUCCAUUUUCGUCACACAAGAAUGCUCUCAUCAUGCACAACCCUGAUGACAAGCCAAGCAAUUGUUUCAUACUUUAGUAAUCUCAAACUUAUAAACCUUCAGGCAAUAUAUGAGCGUGAGCCAUGGACAUAACACUAUGGGUGGAAUAGAAUAUGAUGAUGGGGGUUAUGUGGAGAAGACAAAAAAGGAGAAAGUAUCACAUCAACGAGGCUAAUCAAUGAGCUAUGGAGAUGCCCAUCGAUUGAUGUUAAUGCAAGGAGUAGGGAUUGCCAUGCAACGGAUGCACUAGAGCUAUAAAUGUAUGAAAGCUCAACAAAAGAAACUAAGUGGGUGUGCAUCCAACUUGCUUGCUCACGAAGACCUAGGGCACUUGAGGAGGCCCAUUGUUGGAAUAUACAAGCCAAGUUCUAUAAUGAAAAAUUCCCACUAGUAUAUGAAAGUGACAAAACAAUAGACUCUCUAUCAUGAAGAUUAUGGUUCUACUUUGAAGCACAAGUGUGGCAAAGGAUAGUAACAUUGUCCCUUCUCUCUUUUUAUCUCUUUUUUUUCUUCUUUUUUUUGGGCCUUCACUUUUUAUGGCCUUUCUCUUUUUUUUAUUCCUCGCUUGGGACAAUGCUCUAGAAAAUGAUGAUCAUCACACUUCUAUUUAUUUACAACUCAAUGAUUACAACUCGAUACUAGAACAAAGUAUGAAUCUAUAUGAAUGCCUCCGGCGGUGUACCGGGAUAUGCAAUGAACCAAGAGUGACAUGUAUGAAAGAAUUAUGAAUGGUGGCUUUUCCACAAAUACUAUGUCAACUACAUGAUCAUGCUAAGCAAUAUGACAAUGAUGAACGUGUCAUCAUAAACGGAAUGGUGGAAAGUUGCAUGGCAAUAUAUCUCGGAAUGGCUAUGGAAAUGCCAUAAUAGGUAGGUAUGGUGGCUGUUUUGAGGAAGAUAUAAGGAGGUUUAUGUGUGAAAGAGCGCAUCAUAUCACGGGGUUUGGAUGCACCGGCGAAGUUUGCACCAACUCUCAAUGUGAGAAAGGGCAAUGCACGGUACCCAAGAGGCUAGCAAUGAUGGAAGGGUGAGAGUGCGUAUAAUCCUUGGACUCAACAUUAGUCAUAAAGAACUCACAUACUUAUUGCAAAAAUCUACAAGUCAUCAAAAACCAAGCACUACGCGCAUGCUCCUAGGGGGAUAGAUUGGUAGGAAAAGACCAUCGCUCGUCCCCGACCGCCACUCAUAAGGAGGACAAUCAAAGAACACCUCAUGUUUCAAAUUUGUUACAUAACGUUUACCAUACGUGCAUGCUACGGGACUUGCAAACUUCAACACAAGCAUUUCUCAAAUUCACAACUACUCAACUAGCACGACUCUGAUAUUAUUACCUCCAUAUCUCAAAACAAUCAUCAAGCAUCAAACUUCCCUUAGUAUUCAAAACACUCAUAAGAAAGUUUUUACUAAACUUGAAUACCUAGCAUAUUAGGAUUAUUUAAGCAAAUUACCAUGUUAAGACUCUCAAAAUAAUAUAAGUGAAGCAUGAGAGAUCAAUAGUUUCUAUAAAACAAAUCCACCACCGUGCUCUAAAAGAUAUAAGUGAAGUACUAGAGCAAAACUAUAUAACUCAAAAGAUAUAAGUGAAGCACAUAGAGUAUUCUAAUAAUUUCCAAAUCAUGUAUGGCUCUCUCAAAAGGUGUGUACAGCAAGGAUGAUUGUGGUGAACUAAAAAUCAAAGACUCAAAUCAUACAAGACGCUCCAAGCAAAACACAUAUCAUGUGGUGAAUAAAAAUAUAGCUCCAAGUAAAGUUACCGAUGGAAGUAGACGAAAGAGGGGAUGCCUUCCGGGGCAUCCCCAAGCUUUGGCUUUUUGGUGUCCUUAGAUUAUCUUGGGGGUGCCAUGGGCAUACCCAAGCUUAGGCUCUUGCAACUCCUUGUUCCAUAAUCCAUCAAAUCUUUCACCCAAAACUUGAAAACUUCACAACACAAAACUUAGCAGAAAAUCUCGUGAGCUCCGUUAGCGAAAGAAAACAAAAGACCACUUCAAGGUACUGUAAAAUGAACUCAUUCUUUAUUUAUAUUGGUGUUAAACCUACUGUAUUCCAACUUCUCUAUGGUUUAUAAACUAUUUUAUUAGCCAUAGAUUCAUCAAAAAAAGUAAACAACACACGAAAAACAGAACCUGUCAAAAACAGAACAGUCUGUAGUAAUCUGUAACUAAUGCAAACUUCUGGAACUCCAAAACAUCAGAAAAAAUAGGAAGAACUAGAAAAUUUGUUUAUUGAUCAGCAGCAAUUGGAAUCAGUAUUUUAUCACGUUCUGGUGAUUUUUAACAAUUGUUUUCGUGAACAGAAAGUUUCUGGAAAUUACAGCAAGAUCAAAUAACUAUCAUCCGAGAAGAUCCUAUAGGUUUAACUUGGAACAAACACUAAUUAAAACAUAAAAACACAUCUAACCAGAGGCUAGAACAAAUAUUUAUUCCUAAACAGAAGCAAAAGCAAAAAACUAGAAAUAAAAUUGUGUUGCCUCCCAACAAGCGCUAUCGUUUAACGCCCCUAGCUAGGCAUAAAAGCAAGGAUAGAUCUAGGUAUUGCCAUCUUUGGUGGGCAAAUCAUAAGUGGCUCUCAUGAUAGAUUCAUAUGGUAAUUUUAUUUUCUUCCUAGGGAAGUGUUCCAUGCCUUUCUUUAAUAGAAAUUGAAAUCUAAUAUUCCCUUCCUUCAUAUCAAUAAUUGCACCAAUCGUUCUAAGGAAAGGUCUACCAAGAAUAAUAGGACAAGAAGGAUUGCAAUCUAUAUCAAGAACGAUAAAAUCUACGGGCACAUAGUUCCUAUUUGCAACAAUAAGGACAUCAUUAAUUCUUCCCAUAGGUUUCUUAAUAGUGGAAUCCGUAAGGUGCAAGUUUAAAGAGCAAUCAUAAAAAUCAUGGAAACCUAGCAAAUCACACAAAGUUUUUGGAAUAGUGGAAACACUAGCACCCAAAUCACACAAAGCAUAGCACUCAUGAUCCUUAAUCUUAAUUUUAAUAGUUGGUUUCCACUCAUCAUAAAGUUUUCUAGGGAUAGAAACUUCCAACUCAAGCUUUUCUUCAUAAGAUUGCAUCAAGGCAUCAACGAUAUGUUUAGUAAACGCUUUAUUUUGACUAUAAGCAUGAGGAGAAUUUAGCACGGAUUGCAACAAGGAAAUACAAUCUAUCAAAGAGCAAUUAUAAUAAUUAAAUUCCUUGAAAUCCAAAAUAGUGGGUUUAUCAACAUCUAAUGUUUUGAUUUCUUCAAUCCCACUUUUAUCAAUUUUAGCAUCAAGAUCUGAAAACUCCAAAUUUUUGGAACGCCUUCUAGGUAAAGGUGGAUCAUAUUCAGUCCCAUCAUUAUCAAGAUUCAUAUUGCAAAACAAAGAUUUAAUAGGGGACACAUCAAUAACUUUUAGAUCUUCAUCUUUAUUUUCAUAGAAAUUUGAAGAACACGCUUUUAUAAAGCAAUCUUUCUUAGCACGCAUCCUAGCGGUUCUUUAUUUGCACUCAUCAAUGGAAAUUCUCAUGGCUUUGAGAGACUCAUUGAUAUCAUGCUUAGGAGGAAUAGAUCUAAGUUUUAAAGAAUCAACAUCAAGAGAAAUUCUAUUAACGUUCCUAGCCAAUUGAUCAACUUUAAGCAAUUUCUCUUCAAGCAAAGCAUUGAAAUUCUUUUGCGAAUUCAUAAACUCUUUAACACUAGUCUCAAAUUCAUAGGGCAUCGUAUUAAAAUUUCCAUAAGAGUUAUUGUAGGAAUUACCAUAAUUAUUAGAGGAAUUGCUAGGAUAAGGCCUAGGAUUAAAGUUUCCUCUAUACGCGUUGUUACCAAAAAAAUUCCUACCAACAAAAUUCACAUCCAUAGAUUCAUUAUUAUUCUAAAUCAAAGUAGAAAAAGGCAUAUCAUUAGGAUCAGAAGAAACACUCUUAGUAGCAAAUAAUUUCAUAAGUUCAUCCAUCUUUCCACUCAAAACAUUUAUUUCUUCUAUCGCAUGCACUUUUUUAUUAGUAGAUCUUUCAGUGUGCCAUUGAGAAUAAUUAACCAUAAUAUUAUCUAGGAGUUUAGUAGCUUCUUCUAAAGUGAUUUCCAUAAAAGUGCCUCCCGCGGCCGAAUCUAAAAGAUUUCUAGAAGCAAAAUUCAGUCCGGCAUAUUUUUUUUGUAUAAUUAUCCACAAAUUCAAACCAUGAGUAGGGCAAUUACAUAUCAUUAAUUUCAUUCUCUCCCAAACUUGUGCAACAUGUUCAUGAUCAAGUUGCUUAAAAUUCAUAAUAUCGUUUCUAAGAGAGAUGAUCUUAGCGGAAGGAAAAUACUUAGAGAUAAAAGCAUCUUUGCACUUAUUCCAUGAAUCAAUACUAUUUUUAGGCAAAGACGUAGACCAAGCUUUAGCACAAUCUCUAAGCGAAAAAGGAAAUAGCUUCAAUUUAACAAUAUCAUUAUCAACAUCUUUCUUCUUUUGCAUAUCACACAAAUCAACGGAGCUAUUUAGGUGAGUAGCGGCAUCUUCGCUAGGAAGGCCGGCGAAUUGAUCUUUCAUGACAAGAUUCAACAAAGCAGCAUUGAUUUCACAAGAUUCAGUAUCGGUAAGAGGAGCAAUCGGAGUGCUAAGGAAAUCGUUAUUGUUGGUAUUGGUAAAGUCACAUAAUUUGGUAUUACCUUUAGCCAUCGUGACAAACAAGCAAUCCAACACACGAGCAAACAAAAAGCAAGCGGAAAAGAGGCAAACGGAAAAGAGAGGGCGAAUAAAACGGUAAGGGUGAAGUGGGGGAGAGGAAAACGAGAGGCAAAUGGCAAAUAAUGUAAUGCGGGAGAUAAGGGAUUGUGAUGGGUACUUGGUAUGUUGACUUUUGCGUAGACCUCCCCGGCAACGGCGCCAGAAAUCCUUCUUGCUACCUCUUGAGCACUGCGUUGGUUUUCCCUUGAAGAGGAAAGGGUGAUGCAGCAAAGUAGCGUAAGUAUUUCCCUCAGUUUUUGAAAACCAAGGUAUCAAUCCAGUAGGAGGCUACGCGCGAGUCCCUCGUACCUACACAAAACAAAUAAAUCCUCGCAACCAACGUGAUAAGGGGUUGUCAAUCCCUUCACGGUCACUUACGAGAGUGAGAUCUGAUAGAUAUGAUAGGAUAAUAUUUUUGGUAUUUUUAUGAUAAGAUGCAAAGUAAAAAGCAAAAGGAAAUAAAUAAGUGUUGGAAGAUUAAUAUGAUGAAGAUAGACCCGAGGGCCAUAGGUUUCACUAGUGGCUUCUCUCAAGAGCGUAAGUAUUUUACGAUGGGUGAACGAAUUACUGUUGAGCAAUUGACAGAACUGAGCAUAGUUAUGAGAAUAUCUAGGUAUGAUCAUGUAUAUAGGCAUCACGUCUGAGACAAGUAGACCGACUCCUGCCUGCAUCUACUACUAUUACUCCACUCAUCGACCGUUAUCCAGCAUGCAUCUAGAGUAUUAAGUUCAUGAAAACAGAGUAACGCCUUAAGCAAGAUGACACGAUGUAGGGGGAUAAAUUCAUGCAAUAUGAUAAAAACCCCAUCUUGUUAUCCUCGAUGGCAACAAUACAAUACCUGCCUUGCUGCCCCUACUGUCACUGGGAAAGGACACCGCAAGAUUGAACCCAAAGCUAAGCACUUCUCCCAUUGCAAGAAAGAUCAAUCUAGUAGGCUAGACCAAACUGAUAAUUCAAAGAGACUUGCAAAGAUAACCAAUCAUACAUAAAAGAAUUCAGAGAAGAUUCAAAUAUUGUCCAUAGAUAAUCUUUAUCAUAAACCCACAAUUCAUCGGUCUCAACAAACACACCGCAAAAAGAAGAUUACAUCGAAUAGAUCUCCACGAGAGAGGGGAAGAACAUUGUAUUGAGAUCCAAAAAGAGAGAAGAAGCCAUCUAGCUACUAACUAUGGACCCGAAAGUCUGAAGUAAACUACUCACACUUCAUCGGAGAGGCUAUGGUGUUGAUGUAGAAGCCCUCCGUGAUGGACGCCCCCUCGGGCGGAGCUCCGGAACAGGCCCCAAGAUGGGAUCUCGUGGAUACAGAAGGUUGCGGCGGUGGAAUUAGGUUUUUGACUCCUGUUCUGAUCGUUUGGGGGUACGUAGGUAUAUAUAGGAGGAAGGAGUACGUCGGUGGAGCAACAGGGGGCCCACGAGGGUGGAGGGCGUGCCCUGGGGGGUAGGCGCGCCCCCCUACCUCGUGGCCUCCUGGAAGCUUCUCUUACGUAGGGUCCAAGUCUCCUGGAUCUUGUUCGUUCCAAAAAUCACGCUCCCGAAGGUUUCAUUCCCUUUGGACUCCGUUUGAUAUUCUUUUUCUGUGAAACUCUGAAAUAGGCAAAAAACAACAAUUCUGGGCUGGGCCUCCGGUUAAUAGGUUAGUCCCAAAAAUAACAUAAACGUGAAUAAUAAAGCCCAAUAAUGUCCAAAACAGAAGAUAAUAUAGCAUGGAGCAAUCAAAAAUUAUAGAUACGUUGGAGACGUAUCACCCCCGCACUAAGCGUCGGGCCGCAUUGUAAGUGCUAAGACUCGUACAUGCCCAUAGAUCUAACCUCUCCUCCUUUUCGUAUUGACAUGGUCAAUCAUGCUAUUACAGCCCGGCCCACGACAGGUCCCAACGAUCCUCAUCAGAGGGUUCGUUGGACUCGAAGGAGAUGGCCAGCGAGACACCGCCGGCCGCUUACUCUCCCAAGGCCAAGGGAGACGACGAGGUCCUCUCCCAAUGGACCUUCCCAGGCUGGGGAGAGGCGCCAGAAGGCGAAGCCCCCGUCGCCGAAUGAUAACCCACAAGUAUAGGGGAUCAAUUGGAGCCUCUUUCGAUAAGUAAGAGUGUCGAACCCAACGAGGAGCUAAAGGUAGAACAAAUAUUCCCUCAAGUUCUAUCGACCACCGAUACAACUCGACGCACGAUUGACGUUCACUUUACCUACAACAAGUAUGAAACUAAAAGUACUUUGUAGGUGUUUUUGGAUAGGUUUGCAAGAAUAUAAAGAGAGCGUAAAUAAAAAGUAGGGGCUAUUUAGAUAAAGACACAAUAAAGUAAAUAUAGAGAGUGUGGAAAAGUGGUGGUAGGAGUUGCGAAAUUGUCCCUUAAGCAAUUGACUACUUUACUAGACCGAUAGCAAGUUUUAUGUGGGAGAGGCCACUGCUAGCAUGUCAUCCCUGACUUGGAAUUCUAUGCACUUAUGAUUGGAACUAUUAGCAAGCAUCCGCAACUACUAACGUUCAUUAAGGUAAAACCCAACCGUAGCAUUAAGAUAUAUUGGUCCCCCUUCAAUCCCGUAUGCACCAAUUUCUAUGCUAGGUUGAAGCUUCUGUCACUCUUGCCCUCCAAUACAUAGUCCUAUCAACAUACAACUAACCCUAUGGUGUGAUCCACGUGCGCGCUCAUAUGAUGGGCACCAAAGGACAGCAACAUAACCACAAGCAAAUUAAAUCAAUCAUAGCAAUUCAUCAACCACCGAUAGGAUAACGAAAAUCUACUCAGACAUCAUAGGAUGGCAACACAUCAUUGGAUAAUAAUAUGAAGCAUAAAGCAGCAUGUUCAAGUAGAGGGUACAACGGGUUGUGGGAGAGUGGACCGCUGUAGAUAGAGGGGGGAAGGUGAUGGAGAUGUUGGUGAAUAUGGCGGAGGUGUUGGUGAAGAUCGCGGUGAUGAUGAUGGCCCCCCGGUGGCACUCCGGCGCCACCGGAAGCGAGGGGGAGAGAGCCCCCCUUCUUCUUCUUCUUCCUUGACCUUCUCCCUAGAUGGGACGAGGGUUUCCCCUCUAGUCCUUGGUCUCCAUGGCGUGAAAGGGGAGAGAGCUCCUCCGAGAUUGGAUCUGUCUCUCUGUCUCUCUCUGUUUCUGCGCUCUGUUAUUCUGCCCUUUCACCGUUUCUUAUAUAUCCGGAGAUCCGUAACUCCGAUUGGACUGAAACCUUCACCGAGAUUUUUUUUCCAAAAAUUAGCUUUCUUGUGGCCAAAGAAGAGCAGCAACCGCCUUUCGGGGGGCCCACGAGGGGGGCAGGCGCGCCCCCUGCCUCGUGCCCCCCUCGGGCACCGUCUCACGUUGAUUCUUCUUCUCAUAUUCUCCAAAUAUUCCAAAAAUAUUCUCCAUCCGUUUUUAUCCCGUUUGGAUUCCGUUUGAUAUGAGGUUUCUGCGAAACAUAAAACAUGCAACAAACAGGAACUGGCACUGGGCACUGGAUCAAUAUGUUAGUCCCAAAAAUAGUAUAAAAAGUUACCUAAAGUAUAUGAAAGUUGUAUAAUAUUGGCAUGGAACAAUCAAAAAUUAUAGAUACGACGGAGACGUAUCACCGAACACCAGGGGGAGUCAAUUCCCAUGGAGACUGGGGAUGAGGGCCGUAUUCAAUUCGGCCCUCGACCGGACUCGAUUCCGGAGACCGAUGCGGCUCCGGGAUCCGGCACGCAGCCUCCUUCGAAAGAAGGGGGUAUGCCUAUUCCACCGAUGACCCCUGUCCAACCAGGGGCACCAGAUAAUCUGCUGGAAGCGCUACGAGGCGCUUCCAUUGUGGACGAGCACCGUGUUCUUAUGGGCACGGUGAUUGAAAGAGUUCAGUCCGCCAACAGCGGACUGACCGAAGCCUGCAGCAGCCUGCUGACAGGUUUUGAGGUAAGCGACGAAAAAGGAGAAAAUCCCAAUAUAGACAGUAGCCCCUGAGACACUGUCCGGUAUCCGGAAAGAAGAGACCGGACAGAGGAUCAAUCCCUGAUGGCAGGAAACUAACUAAACUUGUCUGAAAUGAAUACGCAGGCGUCGCUGUUGGUCACGGCCUCACAUACUGCCGAAGUCUCAGGACUGCGGUAGAUACUGGAGCAGGCCGAGGAGGAGCUUGGUUGGGUGAGAAGGCAGCUCCAAGAAAAACAAGGUAUGUGAUAACCCGUUUUAUAUUUAAGAAGGUAAAAUGAUAUGCGUUGACUGAAGUGUCAAGAUAUAUAUAGGAGCGACGACCGAGGUCGAGGCCCUGAAGGAGGCCCUGGCCGAAGCCGAGGGAAAGGCCGUCAAGGAGCAGGCCGCACGUAAGAAGCUCAAGGCCCGGGUCAACGAGGUUCAACAAGAGCUCCAGGACACGGUGAAGAAGUGCGAGACCUUGGAGCGUGACGCGUUGGUUCGAGAGACCGAACUCGCCAAGGCUUGUCAGAGCGCGGAGACGGCCCGGAAUGAGGCCCAGGGCACCCUCCAAGAGAUCCAGGAGGCCAGGAAGAUCGCGGCGGGUAAGGCAUUUAGUAUGCAAAGCAAGUAUAUGAAGAAGAAGUAUUUCUUACUAACCCGGAUUCGGAGUUCUCCAGGAGCCUACGCAGAUAUGCCGUGUAGUGUGUCCGGUGCCGUGGAAUUCUUUCGAGCCGAAGAAGGGAGCUCCACGAAGAAAUUGUUCUGGUCGCAGUAUCUUGCGCCAGAGCAUCCCGUGCCCUUCACCCAACAGCUGAAACAGCUGGUGGAGCUGCAUAGGGUGGCCGAACUAGCCAUGAAGGAUUUGAUAAUUCGGCUAUGGCCAGCCGAAGCUAUGCCCGGUAGCUACUUCGGACUCGUGAAGCGGCUGGUGAACGCAUGUCCUCGGUUGGACAUUGUCAAGCAAUCGGCCUGUAUUGAAGGUGCGCGCAUGGCCUUCGCCCGUUGCAAGAUGUGGUGGGCGAAGAUGGACGCCGUCGAGGUGGCCACGGGGCCGCCAGAGGGCAAGGAGCACCGCAGACCCGAGCGCUAUUUUGCGGAUGUCCUAGAAGGGUCUCGCAUUGUGGCAACGCAGUGUGGGCAGGACAUUAUUUUCGAAUGAAUAUAUUCGUAUUGUCUUUGCCUUGUAUGAUGAAACAAAGUUGGUUUGUAAUAUAAUGCUUGAUAUGUUUUAAUUUUUUCCUCCUGUGCGGCCGUGUUGUAUGAAAUCUGGGGGUUGGCCAGUCGUCGGCUUCUGCCCCCACGUAGAUAGUACGGAGGUGUUCGGGAUGGAAUCUAAACAAUCUUGAUCUAAUUAUAUGGUCCUUGAAGGAGUUGUUUAGCGCAACGAACCAAGCAAUCAGACUAUGCGGCUUAAACGCCCUCACUUAGCCAUAGGAGUUUUACAAUAAAACAUGGGCGCAACCCCUGGUAUUCGAACCAGAUUGCUAUGAGCGUUUGAUCGGGAAGUACCGAUCCUUCGCGUAAAUCUCCAACGAUUUGCAACCUCCGAACAGCUGACCGGCUCUCGCCGUAUCAUGACAGUCAGUUUUCGGCUUUCUCUACUGAGGUGCUCCUUUGGAUAAACCAGGGCACAAUCGCAGCAGUUCUCCUUUUACUACCUUAGCCGAUAUAGGGGAACGUAAGGUAGCAAGCACAGGAGCCGGGCAACCCAACUAUUGACCAAAGACAUGAUUCGGAGCCAAUGCAAGAUUCGGGGUGCUGAGCUAUACUCUAAAAGUGUUCAGUCUUUUGUUGCCAUGUUGUGGGGUGCUAUAAAGCCCCUGGCAAGGUGGAACACACCGAGUGUACGGGUGUUAUCUGAUAGAAUUACCAGGAAGGAAAAAUGCAAGAACAAAGAAAGAGGAAGAACCAGUGGUAAGCUAAAGUCGUGGAAAUUUAGGCCGCAAACUGUUUCUAUUAUAAUUUCAUUGGUGCGUUAAAGCGCGUGCGUACAAGUGGUGCAAUAAGCAGAAAGGCUAUUUACUAUGCCUUCACCAAGAGAGAGCUGCGUAUGGGUCCUGAAAAACAGGUAGAGUGAUCGUUUAACGAAACCACCUAGAGAAGUCCCCCAUAUCUCUGCGGCUCUCCCGUGCCGAACUUGUACAAUACCAUCCAACAGGGUCAACUGACCGCUCUUAUUCUUGCCGUCUUGGCGUGCUUUUUGAGAGGAUCCAUGUUCAGGCCAUCGGAUGGGGUCUGCGGGAUUGAGACCUGAAAGGAAAAAGUGAAAGUGAAAGUAUGUGUGUAUCCGAUGCUGGUUGAGCCGCACUGUGGACCACAAGCUAGUUGUGCCUCCGUCGAUGCCCAUGGAAUUUCGAGUGCGUAGUUAUGUACGCGCGGCGCGAAUGCCACCGCUUGAUCGGGACUGAGACGGAGGCCGGAUUGCUAAUCGAGCUCCUGGCGAGUCGAGUUGUCCUGCUGCAGGGUAGUUCGGACCCUCUUAACGGUGUAUGUGGGCUCGACAGCCCCAUUAGGGUUCUGCUUGAGAAGGCCGCUCUGUACUUCUGCUGCUAAGACAGCUGUGUGCUCCUCUGUAUGGAGGGAGCGUUCAAAGUUUCCGUUAACCGUGAUGACGCCGCGUGGACUGGGCAUCUUGAGCUUAAGAUAAGCAUAGUGUGGCACUGCAUUGAAUCGAGCGAAUGCAGUUCGUCCCAGCAGUGCGUGAUAGCCGCUGCGAAAGGGGACGAUGUCGAAGAUUAACACCUCACUUCGGAAAUUCUCCGGAGACCCGAAGACAACUUCUAGUGUGAUCGAGCCUGUAUAGAGAGCCUCGACACCUGGUAUGACUCCUUUGAAGGUAGUCUUUGUGGGCUUGAUCCGUGAUGGAUUGAUGCCCAUUUUUCGCACUGUAUCCUGAUAAAGCAGGUUGAGGCUGCUACCUCCGUCCAUAAGGACGCGCGUCAGGUGAAAUCCGUCAAUGAUUGGGUCGAGGACUAGUGCGGCUGAACCACCAUGACGGAUACUAGUCGGGUGAUCCCGACGAUCAAAGGUGAUCGGGAAUGACGACCAUGGAUUGAAUUUUGGGGUGACUGGCUCUAUCGCAUAGACGUCCCUCAGUGCGCGUUUGCGCUCCCUUUUGGGGAUGUGUGUAACAUAUAUCAUGUUCACUGUUUUCACUUGAGGGGGAAAUUUUUUCUGUCCCCCUGUGUUUGGUUGCCGGGGCUCCACGUCGUCAUCCUCGCUUUGUGAUCCCUUUUCCCUGUUCUCGGCGUUUAAUUUGCUGGCCUGUUUAAAAAUCCAACAAUCUGUGUUGGUAUGAUUGGCUAGUUUAUCCGGGGUGCCAUGUAUCUGGCACGGGUGAUCGCUAGAUGGUCCCUGAUUAUUUCUCUUGUACGGUUUCUUCCGCUGGCUGGACUUGGAGCCGCUGAAUCCGGCGUUGACUGUAGUGUCGUCGGUAUUAUCCCCAUUGUUUCGGCGUUUGUGUCUGUUACGUCGAAGCUUGCCGUUGCUGUUCUUAACCUCAGAGGGUCCUGCCUCGCUGGCUGUAUUUUUGCUAUGAGCCAACCAACUAUCCUCACCCGCGCAAAAGCGGGUCAUGAGUGCCGUGAGGGCUGCCAUAGAUUUUGGCUUUUCUUGGCCGAGGUGGCGGGCGAGCCAUUCGUCGUGGAUGCUAUGUUUAAAGGCCGCUAGGGCUUCGGCGUCCGAACAGUAGACGAUCUGGUUCUUUUUAGUUAGGAACCUUAUCCAGAACUUCCUGGCUGACUCCCCGGGUUGUUGAACUAUGUGGCUUAAGUCAUCGGCGUCUGGUGGCCGGACAUAUGUACCUUGGAAGUUGUCGAGGAAGGCCUCUUCCAAGUCCUCCCAGCUGCCAAUAGAAUUCUCGGGCAGGCUGUUUAACUAGUGUCGAGCUGGUCCUUUAACCUUUGGCCGAAGGUAUUUGAUAGCGUGGAGGUCAUCUCCCCAGGCAAUGUGGAUGUGGAGGAUAAAGUCCUUGAUCCAUACCGCGGGAUCAGUUGUCCCUUCGUAUGAUUCAAUAUUCACGGGUUUAAACCCUUCGGGGAAUUCUUGAUCCAUUACUUCAUUGGUGAAGCAAAGAGGGUGUGCUACGCCUCUAUAUCGGGCCGCGUCGCGACGUAGUUCCGAUGGAGUCCGUCUAUGGUUGUCGGCCCGGGUGUGACUAGGUUUGUCACGUCUGAAUAGGUAGCCAGUAUCACGUGUCAAAGAACGUCCCCGCGAUCCGUAAAUCGAUCGGGUGUAUCCUGCUCUGCUAUCCAGGGUCUGCCGGAGGUCAUAUGUAUGACCCCAAACUGUUUUGUCUCUGUUUUUUCAUGGCGGCUGGGCGGGCUGCUGUUCGGCUUGAGUUGCCGCUCUAUCCCGACCACGAGGUGGUCGGUCCGCCGCACUGUCCCGAUUGCGUAGUGUUCGGCCGGCCGCAUUACGCUAGGGAGGUAUGUGCUCCGGUGCCUCUUCAUCGAACUGAGGUAGCAACCUUCGCUUCGGGUAACUCUUCGCUGGGCGUCUGAGGCCGUGUUCUUCGGCGGCCAGGACAUAAGUCCAUCUGUCGACGAGCAGAUCUUGGUCAGCUUGAAGCUGUUGUUGCUUCUUUUUUAGGCUCCUUGCGGUGGCUAUUAGCUGGCGCUUGAAGCGCUCCUGCUCGAGAGGUUCCUCAGGCACGAUGAAAUCUUCGUUGCCGAGGAUUUCCUCAUCCUCAGAGAGCGGACAAUAACUACCGUCCUCCGAGUCAUUGGGCCUGGCCUGUUCGUCGGGGUUAGCUUGCCCGUUUUCUUGCUCCUCCUGUUCGGAUGUUACCUCCGCAAGGUCUUCAUUAUUUUCGGCAUCGUCCGGAGUAUUAUUUUCUUCGGUGCCAGAAUUGCUGUCUUUUGAACAACGUGACUUAGAGCGGCGUCGAGGACGCUGGCGUUUUUGCUGUGUCUCAGGAGGUUUAUUCUCGACUGGAUUUUCUUUGUCAUCGCCGUUGGUUGUUUUGGGUGUGUCCACCAUGUACACAUCGUACGAAGAGGUGGCCGUCCAGCGUCCGGUGAACGGUGGAUUUUGAUUUUGCUCCUCAUCAGCAUCGUUGUCCAUACCGUCGAUGUCUUCGGAGCCGUAAUCAAGCGUGUCGGUUAAAUCCUCGACUGUGGCUAUGAAGUGGGUGGCGGGUGGGAAGCAAGAUUCUCCUUCAUCAGCCCCUAGUUCGAACCGAAUAUAGUUCGGCUGUGAGUCCCCCGCCAAGGACAUGCUCUUUAAUGAGUUUAGCACAUCGCCCAAGGGCGAGUGCUGGAACAUGUCUGCGGCGCUGAACUCGAAGAUCGAUAAGCGAUCAAGUUCGGCAUCUGCGGGCUCACAUGGUUCGGAACUUGCGCCCGGAGACGAGUCCGGAGUUUCAGAAACACAAAUAUUGUGUGAGGUUAAGUCCAUGUGCGGCUCCAACGCCGGGGAAUCUGUGGCCUCCGCGGUGGGGUUGAGCCUCCAAUCCUUGGACGGCGCUGUAUGCUCCGGAUCUAAGGCCAAAGCAGUUACAGGGGCUAUCUCCUGGAUACGGUUUGACGACAGAUUUAAGUCAUGGUCAUCAAGGUGACCAGGAGUGGUUGCCGCGGUCUCGAAUCCGGUGAAGAUCAAAUCUCCACGGGCGUCCGCGACGUAGUUCAAGCUCCCAAAUCUGACCUGAGGGCCAGGGGCGUAGCUAUCGAUCUGCUCCAGGUGGCCAAACGAGUUGGCCCGCAAUACGAAGCCGCCGAAUACGAAGAUCUGUCCGGGGAGAAAGUUUUUUCCUUGGACAGCGUCAUUGUUGACGAUUGAAGGGGCCAUCAAACCUUUUGGGGACGGCACAGUGGAACUCUCAAUGAAAGCACCAAUGUUGUUGUCAAAACCGGCGGAUCUCGGGUAGGGGGUCCCGAACUGUGCGUCUAAGGUCGAUGGUAACAGGAGACAGGGGACACGAUGUUUACCCAGGUUCGGGCCCUCUCUAUGGAGGUAAUACCCUACUUCCUGCUUGAUUGAUCUUGAUGAAUAUGAGUAUUACAAGAGUUGAUCUACCACGAGAUCGUAAUGGCUAAACCCUAGAAGUCUAAUAUGUAUGACUAUGGUAAUGAGCAUAUCCUCAUCCGGACUAAGUCCUUCGGUUUAUAUAAGCACCAGGAGGAUCUAGGGUUACACAGGGUCGGUUACAAGGAAGGGAAUCUACAUAUUUGGUCGCCAAGCUUGCCUUCCACGCCAAGGAGAGUCCCAUCCGGACACGGGUGUAGUCUUUGGUCUUCGUAUCUUCACAGCCCAUCAGUCCGGCCCAUGGCUAACAGGCCGGACGCCCGAGGACCCCUUAGUCCAGGACUCCCUCAGUGCCACCACAGCAAGGAGCACUGUCAGUAUCCUCCGGCGAGCCGGUAUCUCUCCGCCUCCCAGCUGACUGCGCCUCCGGCCGGAGCCCGCCUCUACUGCCGCGAGCCAGCCGUCGUGAGCCGUGUCAUGUGACCGUGAGCCCGUCACUGAGGAAAAACGGAAGGGAAAAGAAACUGUAAGACACCGAGGGGUGGGCUCCAUUGGUCACCGUCUGUAUAAACAUUUUCAUUGGAAUUCUUUUGCAUUCUCGUUGUUAUAAUUCUUCUUCCACCGAAUAUCCAUUUCUAAGCACAGGCUCAUCUGCACCUGGUCAAGAAUUUUUUGUAAGAAAAUCUAACCUUUUCUUGCAUGGUAGAUAAUUUGAUGCGUGGGGUGCUCUCCAAAUUUCAGAUCAUCUGAACAUAUGUGUAGCUCUUAGCAAAAAAAACAAAUUAGGUUAGAACAAUACAUGAAUAGUAAUUAUUUUACCGACCUUAAAUUUGUUUUUUUUACCGAGGCUACUUAGAUGUCCAAAUGAUCUGAAAUUUUGAGCGCAGCUCAUGCACUAAAUUAUCUACCAUGCAAAAAAUAUAUAUUUUCAGAAUUUUUCUAGUAUCUUUUUCAAUUUUUUUUAUGCAUUGCGGGUGGAGAAGAGCCUGGCCACCGAAUCGCAGCUCUCUUCUUCCACCGUAUUCUAUAUUCUUAGAAGAUCCCCACUAACAACAUUUUUCUUAUGUACAGUGUCCACGUCAGCAUAAUGUCACGUCAGUGUUCUCUCAACAUGUAAGCCUCCACCUCAACAAACAAACAAAAAAUCAUCGAAUCAUUAGGUUCCAAUGUGAGUGGGAUCAAUCUCUGAUCAUAGAGCGUAACCCUGUCUAUUCACCUCGACACAAUUAGCUGGUACGAUGUGGCGCACGUUGUUUCUUCCGGCUUCUAGAGCUUCGUAAUCAAAUCCAUUUUCUUUUGGAAGCCUGAAUGACCAGGCUGCCUCCACUUCCCCUCCUUGUCCAUGCUCCUCCCCCAUGUCUAUAAUAGCGGCGUGGGUCUGAUUUCCAUGUAGGACGCUCCUCUACAAGGCCGUCGGUCUGGCUUGUCACAUAGCUUCAGCCGAAGGAUGAGAAAGAGCUUAUCGCACAACUUCUUAGGAUUUCUUGUGUAUUCUAAGAUUCUCUUCCGAGCAACCGGAUUAUAAGAUAACUCAUCGAGAUUAAUUUCUUUCUCAAUAGAAGCUUCGAGAGACUAGCCGCGGUGACAUUUUUUCACAAAAAAAGUUGCGGUGAUAUUUGAUGCACUUUGCCUACGAUCUACUGGGUGACCUUGAAGUCCCUCCGUCAUUAUCACUGGUGACCAAUUUCUAUUUGGAUCAUACCUUUCAUAGCCUAGAUCAAUCAAAAUCCAUUGAUAAAAACAUCAGAAAACAAUGGCAAAAAAAUUCAUUAUCAUGCUAGGCUACUAGGCUAGAUUGAACAUGCACAAGAGGAAGAAGAUGUGGCAAUAUUAGUAUUCUUUUUAGAAAAGGAGGAAGACCCCCGGCCUCUGCAUCUGGACGAUGCAUGCAACCAUUUUAUUAAUUAUUCACACAAGACCUUACAAAGUAAUACAAUAGUAAGACUAAAAGCCACCGUCUAGGCAACAUCUGUCGCUACUCCUAUCAAAUUGAUGAAGGGAUGCUGAUAGUCUGAGGCUAAUACCAAACAGACAUCGCAGUCAACCCUAACAUCUAAGACCUGAGGUCCCAACCAGGACGCCUGCUGGGUAUGAGGCCGCCGCAGCCACCUGCCACCAAUCCAUAUUCAGAGCUGUACUGCUGCAUCUACCUUGCCCGGUCUAGCUGCCGUCGACGCCACCACGACGCCAGACUGCGUCACCCUCCUGCGCGAGUCCAUCAUCGCACAUCAGACGCCUAAUCUCCAGAGCGCCAUGCCAUCAAGAUUGUCACCAUCAAUGUGCAUGAUGAAGCACCGCUCCACCAAAGACGUCGUCCACUGGUCCCUCGAGCCCGCGUACACCUCCAAGAAAGACGCCCCCAAGGGGGAAACGACACAAACGUGCCGUCGUCUUCUGAUCUAUCGAUAUAGGGUUUCCCCCGGAGGUAGUAGAUCAUAGUCUAGAACUUCUCCACGGCGAUGCCUUCAAGAAGGGAACAACACCAUAGAGCGCCACCACCGCCGGAUUUGGCAUCUAACCAAGAGCAGGUUUUCACCCAGGUCUGUUCGAAGAACUCUAUCCACUUCUUGUGCACGGACCGCCGCCUUCUCUGUCAAAGACUAGACCAAGGGUCCAGCCGUCGCCAUCAGCAUCGGGAGAUGACGACAGUCUCCCUGUACCGGAGCUAGCACCAACCAAAGCAGAUCAAGUCGGAGACGAUGAUGCCCUUGGAUCUGCGGCAGACCAGCGAGCCGUCGGCCCCACCCCGUCCAGAACGCCGGCCACGCCGGGCCGCCGGCACCCCCCGUGUCGUCCGGGUCGGAGAGGGAGCCGCCGACCGCGCACAAGGGCCACUGCCGCCUGCACACGCCGGAGCGCCACCGCCUACCGAGACCCGCCGCCACGCGCCCCACGCCCCGCCACCGCGAGUGCCGCAGGACACCGCCGCCUGCCGCCUAGAUUUGAUGCCCGUGGAGGAAGGGGAGUCGGAAGAGGAAGUCCCCCCGCCGCCGCCGUCAGCCACGCGGGUUUCACCCGGCGGCGGCGCGAGGAGGGGAGGGGGAGAGGGUGGCGGCGGCGCCUAGGGUUGGAGAGCCCCCGAGUCACCCAGGGCGGGAGCGACGCGAGGGGUUUGCGGAUGCAUACGGCCAUUUUAAUAUGAGUACCAAGAUAAACAUAGUCCUCAAUUUUUUUAAAUGAGUAUCAAGAUAUUUUUUGAUGAGUGGUUCGACCACACACCAAACUUGAUCCUCAAUAAAUGUGGAAAAAUGCCUGUGCAUCACUUGUCAAUUUUAGGAAUUGAACUCGGGUCGUUAGGGCAUGUACAAUGGUUGAUAAGAUAGUCCUAUCUUAUGUCUUGCAUGUGAUUUAGAGAUGACAAAAGAACAUGUCUACAGUGGGUCAUAUCUUAGCCUUAUCUUCAAUAAGUAGCUAUUCCUAAAAACGUGAUGAGACAUAUUGUGCUAAGAGAUCAUCUCUUGCCUUCUCUUAAAUAAGAAAAGACAACUCUUUUCUUAUGUUUUCUCUCUCCUCCACCUUAUUAUUUAUCCUACGUGGCAUAUCUAAGAUAGAAUCAUUGUACAUGCCCUUAGGCUGCCCAACCGCAUGCCCAACCAUUGAGCCAAGGCUCUCUUUGUGCAGGCAAUAUUAGUUACUUUAAUAUUUGGGCUACAAUUGCCGGCUUGCCACCAUGGAUCUGCAGUGAUCUAUUUACCCCUGGUGUCCACCAACCGAGCUAUACACAAACACACGAGAGGUGCGAGUUGGAAAAAAAAUCAACAGACAAGAGACCAGGCAUGCAACUGCCAUGCCUAUACAAUAAAGUAAUCAAGUCACAGUUUAGGCAUAUGCAUAGAGUCAUUUGAUCUGGGCUUUAGGCCUUCUGUUUAGCUGUCCACGUCACAUUAUUUGAUGGGAUUAUUAUAGACUUUUUAUCGGUACAAAUCAAGAAAAUACAUACCUAUAUGUAGGGUGGCCAAGAAAAUCCGUUGGGUUCACUUGAACCCAACAUUUCUACGCUGGCUCUGCCGCUGCGCUCGCCCUCACUGCCACCAGGUGCAUCGUUCUCACUCAUCAGCCUCAGCUCAUGUGUCGAUAAUAUCCGAGUUCCACCCUUCCUCGGUGCAGCUGCGAACAUGCUCGACGCUGUCGGCAUGCCCGGAGAUGCCGUAAAUUCUCAAUACACCAUGUAUAUAUGAUUUAUAUGAUACAAAUGAUAAUUACAAGAUACAUAUACUCAACCGUAAACAAUUAUUAAANNNNNNNNNNNNNNNNNNNNNNNNNNNNNNNNNNNNNNNNNNNNNNNNNNNNNNNNNNNNNNNNNNNNNNNNNNNNNNNNNNNNNNNNNNNNNNNNNNNNNNNNNNNNNNNNNNNNNNNNNNNNNNNNNNNNNNNNNNNNNNNNNNACAUUAUGUUCUGCAAAUCAUAGAUGACAAAACUUUAGUAGUUAAACAUGCAAUUAAUUUGUGUGUCUGUAAUGUCGUUUGUUUGCAGGAGACUAAACGUAUACACUGUGAUCAGAACUUUACUUGAUCCUUUUGUCGUCGUAGGCUUGAUAAAUUUGCUUAUAUUCCCUCUUGAGGCGCCUCUGGUGGCUUACUGACGAUUUGGAAUAGUUUUGUUCUUGAUGGAACAAUGAUUUCUUUGGAUCUUUUUGCUCUCUGUAUUUCGUUCGUAUCGAAAAGUGCAGGCAACACUUGGAAACUGUAAAACAUAUAUGCCCCCUGUUGCCGUGAAGAUUGCCAAUUAUUCACUGACCGGUUAUAUGCCCUGACAUCCCUGAUACCGACGACUUGUUGCUAGUUGGAGACUACAACUUUAUCGGGUCCACUGAAAACCGCAACAAACCCGACGGCAAUGUGGAUGAUAUCCUGCUUCUGUUCAUCAUCUCCGGGAGAGGUAUUAGGUGUGUGUAAAAAGCAUUAUUAUUUCAGUGGUUUUCUUUUUGAAUUAAAGAGCGAUUCACUCACAAUUUUCAUUUCAUAAAACUGAUUAAACAAACAAGAUUCAGCAAUCACCGCAAACAUAUAGUUCAAUCAAAUCAUCUACCUAUCCACUACGAGCCUCCCAAGAAACAAACAUCACCCGAUCAGACCAUAUUAAUACAAACCAAAAAGCAGGUGACAAAACCACGUUCAAUUAGUUGUAACAAGCGAUUGUUUCAAUGGUUUUAUUACCAUUUCAAUUGUAAAUGAGCUUAUUUUCCACCGAUACUCAGCCGGGCAUAAAGUAAUCCACAUCAUACAUACAAAUACUGUGGGCAUCAGGUAUCGCUAUAUUAUAUUCGUAUUCACAACAACUUAGAUAUUAUCAUAUUUCUGUACAUACUCGGUCAAAUCAGAAGAAGAAAAUUGACUUGGAACAAACCUAGAACUUCAGUCUAUUUGAAAUGGUAGGAGUGCCUUGGAGGGGUGGUUGCCAGGUUGCCACACUUAGGCCGCUCCAGAGAGGUAACACUAGGAGAAGGUACGUACAAAUGAAACCUCUAGUAGGUCUACGCCAACAUUGGUGCAUUGCAUCAAAUUCUGCUACUUGUCUAUACAAUAGCUUUGCAACAAUCAACUAGUGAUCUACGAGUAGAAUUGGUAUAUCUUGGCCUCCAUGAUGAUCUGUCUUAGCCCUCCAAUGGGCCCAAGCACCAUCAGCAGCACCCCACCAACGAUGCAGAACUGAAGAGAAUGGAAACACAAAAGAUAAAAUAAAAUUGGAUGAUCAAAUGAGAGAUGUCUAUUGCAGGCACACAGGAUAAAAAAGAAAGAUACUCCCUCGGAUCAAUAUUAUUUGUCGCUCAAACAUAUGUAUCUAGACAGAGGGAGUACUAACUAUUCAUUCAGUUGAUCUUACCCAGUUGGUGCACCAUGAGAGGCUGAAUACCCUGGGCUUGUAAACCGUGAGCCAGAUGAUGCAGGGAAGCUGGUCCGAACAAGAAGUUAGUUCUGAUUAGCUCUGAAUUCAUAUUUGCUUUAAUGGAAUUGGAAUGGACCCGGAUGGAAUGCUUACGAAAUAAGUUGUGGGCGCAAAGGCGAGCCCGCCGAAGAAUCCGAUAAGCCCACCGAAGAAGGGGAAGGUGAUGCCUACGAACAUUGUGAACGCUGCGCAGAUUUGUAUCCCAUUAGUCAUGUUUGUUUGGGACGAUUUUUUUGGUUUAAUUAACUGGAAGCAAGUGAGUUCGCUUGUGACAAGCGCAUCAGGGCAUUACCAACAAAGAGGCUCCGAGAAACCAAACGGAGCUUCCAACCGGGAGAGAAACGCAUCUUCCUCACCAGCACCAUUUCCAUCAUGUCGAACACCGGCAUCGCAUAAACCUGAGAUGAGAAGGGUCGUCUCCCAUGUUAAAAAAGUCUUAAUUAUGUACACAUGACAUUUAAAAAAACUAAUGACUGCGUGAGUGGCUGGGAGGACGCGUACGUGUACCUGGUAGCUACCAAUGACAUGGACGACGACCAUCAUGUUGGCGGCGGCGAUGAGCCACUUGGGCGUGUUGAGGGUGAUGAGGAUGUUGUCGUCGACGCUAUUGCCGAAGGCCCAAUAACCGACGAAAGCGACCGGGAAGUAGCAGAGCAAGACGAUGGUGUAGGCCACGAUCACGCCCUUCCACAUGGGCUUCUUGGACGGCGUGUCCGCCGUGGACGGGAUGGAGGCCUGGAUCUCCAGCACGACGUUAUGGCCUGAGAAGGAGAAGGCCAUCUGUCCCAGGCCUCCCAGGAAGUCGAACACCAUCCCCGAGGUAGUGGAUGCCCGUAGGCUGUAGUCCACGCCGUCCGCCUUCCCCUUGUCCACCGAGGCGCCCCAAGCAAUCGUCGAGUAGCUGUGGCGUUUGUUUGUCCAUACGUCUCAAUGUCAGUGGCCAUGUCUAGCACUGUCUUCGUCCGGAAUUAGUUGAUCCUCAAACGGAUGUAUCUAAAACAUCUAGAUACAUCCUUCGAGGGUCAACUAAUUCGGUACCGAGGGAGUAUUAAUUAUGGUUUUGACAAAUUGGUUUCCUAUGGUAUGUACCAGAUCGACAUGAGGGCGGCAGCAAGGGAGAUGGUGGCGAUGGAGUCGAAGUUGGGGAGCUGGGAGAUGACGAACUGGGCGGAAGCAAAGAUCAUGAUGAAGUAGGAAAGCUUUAUGUCCUUGCACCUGCCGUCGCAGACGAGGUCGUGGAACUUCUUGAGUGACUUGCCGCCGGUGAUCAUGUACACGAUGUCCAAGCUGAUCUCGACAACGAGCUGCUGCGGCACGACGAUCCACAGCCCUAGCGUCUCGCCGAACGCGUACUGCCCCAGCUCGUGAUACCUGUCGAACCGCUUCCCGGGCACCAUCUCGUGCAUCUCCACCAUUUGCCACAGCGUGUACAGCGUCAUGAUCCACGACAGGGUCAUCACCGCGACGCCGGGUCCCCUAAAACCAUCAAACAUCAGUGAAACCGACGACAUGUACAAAAUAGUAAUACAUAAUAUGGAUGCCAAUGGAGUUGAAGGUGAUCCCAUUUCCAACAGUAUGUAUGUACCAGCCGAGCUCGGACAUGGCAUAGGGUAGGGUGAGCACGCCGGCACCGACCAUGGCUGUGACAUUGUGGAAGGCCGAGUACCACCACUUGCCGUUCCUCGAUGCUGUGACCGGGAGCCAGUCGUCGAUCUUUCUCUCCUCCACAGUCCUCCAAUCCUGCUAGUUUUCACCGUUGUUGUUACCCAUUGGAAAAAAGGAUCCAAUAUCUUAUUUCAUGAAUUAAUACAAGUAUGGUAGAGCUUAUCACUGGCGGAGGGCGUGUGGAAUUGUGUCCCCGACGGGUCUCCCGGGAUCCAGUCGGUUUGAUUUUUAGGUAGAUCCUUCUAGAUUCGACCGACUUUCAUGGUCUACGGAGUUUUUACAGGCCCUUAUCGGUGUUUUCUUCUCCAAGGCUACGAUUUGCUUCGUAGAUCAUGGCUGACAGCAGCUCUUGGUCCGCAUCCGCGACCUCCCAGCCGUUGCUUCUACAAGCUCCUUGGUUUAAAAAAGUUAGCUCCGCCAAGGCGGAGGCCAACAUGCGAUAUUGAGCUAUGCUCACGACGCGCUACCGAUGGAUGCAAGAGAAAGAAGACUUCAACGCUCCCAUGAUUUUAAAUGUAAUAUUUUUUAAGGAUGUGUUUAUAAGGACCUGUGAUACUUCAUAUAUGACCUUAGGCCUUUUUUAGAGAAAGAAAGAAAGAAAGAAAUAAAGAAAGAAAGGAAGGAAGAAAGGACACAAAUUAGUGUUUGUCUAGUGGCCAAGUCAGGACUCAGGACAGAAACGAGGGAGAGGCUCAUUGAGCAAUGCUAAUGUUACCAGUAGGUGAGCAAAACAGUGUGUUUUUGUUAACUAAACUGCACAUUUGAUCAUUGAGCCAUGCUUGAAAACAACGCACGUGGAAGGGCCCACUAAAGACAACUGAUUCCUUUAUAUUCACGCAAGUUGACUUGUCAUAUUGACUAAAUGUCAAAUUAGUCGGUGUCGUCGCAUGCGUAAUCAAGGCCAACUCAUGACAAAGAUAUGUUUUUUUCUCUCUCUAUCUAGGAUGUAUAUAUUCACCUAACCACAAUGAUAUUUAUAAUACCCCAAAGAUAUUUAGUAGUACAUGGUAGUAAUUGACAUGUAGAUCUUGGAUUUGAGGGACGAUUAUCCACUGUAAAAAAAAUAUUUCACUCUUGGGCCGCAAGGAAUUUACACUUAAUAUGCAAGUACGACAAAUUUAUUGUUUACUGAAAAUAAAAAUUCCUCAAUUAAGGCAAAGCAUCACAUAUCACACCAAUUAUGUGACCAUCAUCAUGGGGUAUUUGAUGAACAUUUCGUACAUUUUCUUUGUAAAACGAAGAGAAAGGUUAAAAAAACAAACGAGUAGCAAUAUCUGGAAUCCUGCAUGCAAGUGCCAUUUAAAAAAAGGGUAACAUUUUGUCUCCAUUCUAUUCCACUUUGUCCAUCAAGGGUUUCUUUGAUUCAAAGAAUUUCUAAAUUACGUUUGGAGAAUUCUAUCCCUAUGUUUUUUUUCUACAAGGAUUGUUUGAUUCGUAGGACAACUCAUAGGAAAUAUUUUCCUUUGAAUAUACUUACAUCAGUUUACAUAGGAAAAAUUUCAUCCACUUCAACCUGAUGUGCUAAAUCUUUUGUUUUUUCCUGUGCACAAUGAAACGUCACUACUAAUCAUAAUCUACUGGAGAUGGCAUGUCAUUCUUGUAUUUAUUUUUCUGUUCUGUGUUUUAGAGAUCGUGCGAAUCAAAGAGGCUCCUAAUGUCCACCUCUAAUCCUCCUUGUUUCACACCUGUAGACAACUCUCUCUCUCUCUCUCUCUCUCUCUCUCUANNNNNNNNNNNNNNNNNNNNNNNNNNNNNNNNNNNNNNNNNNNNNNNNNNNNNNNNNNNNNNNNNNNNNNNNNNNNNNNNNNNNNNNNNNNNNNNNNNNNNNNNNNNNNNNNNNNNNNNNNNNNNNNNNNNNNNNNNNNNNNNNNNNNNNNNNNNNNNNNNNNNNNNNNNNNNNNNNNNNNNNNNNNNNNNNNNNNNNNNNNNNNNNNNNNNNNNNNNNNNNNNNNNNNNNNNNNNNNNNNNNNNNNNNNNNNNNNNNNNNNNNNNNNNNNNNNNNNNNNNNNNNNNNNNNNNNNNNNNNNNNNNNNNNNNNNNNNNNNNNNNNNNNNNNNNNNNNNNNNNNNNNNNNNNNNNNNNNNNNNNNNNNNNNNNNNNNNNNNNNNNNNNNNNNNNNNNNNNNNNNNNNNNNNNNNNNNNNNNNNNNNNNNNNNNNNNNNNNNNNNNNNNNNNNNNNNNNNNNNNNNNNNNNNNNNNNNNNNNNNNNNNNNNNNNNNNNNNNNNNNNNNNNNNNNNNNNNNNNNNNNNNGGCGGCAGGGAGGUGUGGUUCUCCGCUGGCCGCUACCCGUGUUCCCAUGGCCGGUUAGGCAGAUUUGUCUUCAACCAGCAAAGCUUCGGCAAUGGAGAGAUUUCCAAGAGGUUGGGAUUUGCGAGUGUGUAUGUAUGUCAUGCAGAAGAGGCCGGCUUAUUUGUAGAGCUGCGUGCAGCGUUAGCAUGUACUGACUGUUGACUUCAGAAGGCAAAACCUGCAGGUAACUGGAAACGGUCAUCCUCGCGUCGCUGUGACUCCCCGGCCUCCUCCCGAGCGCCAUAUGUCCGUCGCCGGUCGCCCCAUCUGGUUUCAACAGUCUACGUUUUAUUUAUUUUAUUUUUGGUGAUGAGGACCUGUAUUUAUUUAUUUAUUUUAUUACAGGAAGCGCUAGUGCAAUGACACAAUUAAUUGAGUACUCGUUUUUUCCAAAAACUGUCAAAGGGUAUAUAUUAAAUUAAGUUGAUCAACUCUUAUGAGGGCAUCUUUACAAAAAAUAAAAAUCACACAACAGUCCUCAAUACUCACCGUAGACCAGAAUACUAUUACCUGGUCCCAAUAAAUUUGUCUACAUAUAUUCGUAUCUAAACAAGUAAUUCCGAACAGAAGCGGUAGAUUUGAUACCUUGACGUUAUAAUUCAGCAAUACGGUUAGGUAUACUUGUGUAUUUACUGAGACAUGAGGUCUAAUUAAUCGAACUUAUAAUAUUUCUAAUGCAUACAAUUCAGCAAUACUCGAAUGCAUAAUUUUAAACGCCACAAUCAAACUCAUUUUUGUUUUGUUUUAAACAUGCAUGUCUCAAACCCUACUACAAAAUGUUCAUGUCACUGCAUAGUUCCAAUAAAAAGUCUGCAAAAAUGUUUGAACUUGCAAUGUAUGAACAUCUGCAAAUAAGAAAAAAAAUGAAAUUUAAGAAGAAGAAAAAAUACCAUUUAGACAAAAUGUCAAACAUCUGGUUUCAACAAUCUAUAUAAGUUUUAUUUAUUUUAUUUUUGGUGAUGACGACCUGUACUUAUUUAUUUAUUUUAUUACAGGAAGCGCUAGUGCAAUGACACAAUUAAUUGAGUACUCGUUUUUUCCAAAAAAUGUCAAAGGGUAUAUAUUAAAUUAAGUUGAUCAACUCUUACGAGGGCAUAUUUACAAAAAAUAAAAAUCAUACAACAAUCCUCGAUACUCACCGUAGACCAGAAUACUAUUACCUCCAUCCAAAAAAUUUGUCUUAGAUUUGUCUAGAUACAAAUGUAUCUAACACCAAAAUGUGUCUACAUAUAUCCGUAUCUGAACAAAUCUAAGACAUGUAAUCUGGGACAGAAGGAGUAGAUUUGAUACCUUGAUGAUUUUCCACUUGCUGCCAUUAUACGGUUAGGUUCACAUAUGCAUGUGUAUUUACUGAGACAUGAGUUAUAAUUGAUCAAACUUAUAAUAUUUCUAAUGCAUACAAUUCAGUAAUACUCAAAUGCAAAAUUUUAAACGCUACAAUUAAAAUCAUUUUUUUAACAUGCAUGUCUCAAACCUUACUACAGAAUGUUCAUGGCACUGCAUAAUUCCAAUGAAAUGUCUGCAAAAAUGUUUGAAACUGCGAUAUAUGAACAACUACAAAUAAGAAAAAUGAAAUUUAAGAUUUUUUUUUUGAGUUGUUAUAACUUCUAAUGGCAAAAGUGAGUAGUGGGACACAACCAGUGGCAUAAAUGAUAAAAACCCUUACACGAAAGGUCAAACACCUUGUGUGUAGUAGUGGUUGCCGAGGUGCUAUGGUGGGACAAGGGUGGGGUUGCAGUAAGGGGGCGAAAGCCUUAUGAUGGCUAGAGUGGUUUCUGGUUGGCGACGUUCUCCGAUCUCGGUCUAGUGCGGACAAUUACUUCUAAUGGAGGAUCAAGGUAGGAGCGCGUGGGGAGGAGGGGGGAUAUAGGAGUUGAGGACGAGACUAGAGGGUGGAGUGGUGGACAGUUGCCACAUGAGGGAGAGGAAUUGGAAACAUUUUUCUCCACCCAUGGGCCAGUCAAGUAGGGGGUUAUGGGCCACAGAAAAUAGGGUGUGUACGUGAUCCAAUUUUUGUGUACCCAAAGCACCUAAGAAUAAUUUUGAGGGUUCUAUUGGUGGCUUGGAUGUUGGGGGUGGAGAUGGAACCUAGGCAUUCUGAACUGCGGCUUGGGUAGUGAUAAUGAACUUCAAACUGUAGCCUACUAUAGAUUAAUGUCACUACAACGUUUCAAAGACAACAUGAGACCUGAUGUCGGCCUAGCUACGCCACUUCUCAAAUGGAUAUGUAGAAGCCUUCCAUCAAAAGUUAGUUGUCCAGGCCACUUCCCUAGACUUUGAGUUGGAUCUAAUUCUCGUUCCCGACACAAAAGAGGGUAGACUUCAUCCGAGACACAUGGAUUAUAUUGCUUCUUUCAAAGGCUCUUAGGUUUGGCAUGAUUAGACACCAACCACACAAUCAACGAGUUUUUCAUAUAUAGUUUAAAUAUACAUGUUUAUCGGACAUUUAGUAGCUUAAGAUUGUGUUUGCUUGAGAGCCAAGAACCAAGUUAUAUCUCAACCUUUUCUUAACAAAACUUUAUUACAUUAGAUAGUAAGAUCAUGGGACACAACUAGAUGAGGAGUAACAUAAACAACAAAAGUAAAUGUUAUCUUAACCAAAUAUAAAACUACAAUGGAGUCCCGGGCCUCGAUUCUCUCGCCAAAGGCACAACCAAGGAUAUCGUGAUUGCACCAUAGAAAAUCUCACGUGCAAUAGACAACAACGAGCAACUUAGUCACAAGUGCCUACAAACACCUUUAGAGGAGUAAACGUUGUUGAAUCACCACAACAAUAGACUGUUGUGUACGAUGGAGAUUGGCGACACACCAAGCAAUUUGGUAGGGGUACUGCCCUAUCUAGGCAGGUAGUCAUACCAGCAUCGCCUGACCAGGCUAACGAACUUGCUCAUAGAGGCUCGAAAGAAGAUGAUAAUGCUGCCGACAAAGCCUACAAAGCCACGCCGGCGAAAACAACAAGAAUCAGCCCUUGGCCGUGAUGAUCGAUGGGGACACAAAACUCUCUCCCUUCUCGGCAUCUCACUGUAAAGUGCCACAAAGGUGGGAUUGGGGAUGGAGCCUUUUAAUUUUGAACAACGCCUACAGUAAUGCCGGGGAGAUGCCGCUGGACCCAAAAACCUAAUUUAGAGACCCUGCAUACACACUGGAGAUGUAGACCUUCAUGGAACCCUAGACCCUCCUUUCUUGCAGCGAUGGGAAAAUGAAUAUUAUCCUUACAAACAAGUGUUUCCUUUAAAUCAUCUUAACCUCAUUUUACAUUUGGUGGCUCUUUUGUUUAGAUAAUUAUAUUUGCUGACUAAUCCUAUUAACCUAAAUACUUCCUCCGGAUGGGAAUAUGAGUCGGGCAUGGAUUUUUAGAUUUCAAUUUGACUAUUGAAAUAUGUUUUAUAUGGCAAACAAAAUACAACUUUAGAUUCGUCCUCGACUGAUGUUUCCAAACAUACAUUUUUUUUUGUGACAUAUUGCACAUGUUUUGUCAAUCAAAUUGAGGACCUAAAAAUCCACGUCAGACUUAUAUUCCCAGCCGAAGGAUUAUUGUAUUUCACCCGAAAAAAGAAGAAGAAAGGAUUAUUGUAUUCCCGAGACUAGUCGGCCCAUGGACCAAAUCCACCGGAAACAUACGCGCAAGUAUACAUCCGAGAAAAGUAUACAUGCACAGAGCAUGUGGACUUGUCAAAUGCAAGAUCCAGAAGUGGACUGAAGCUCGAGCACUGGACUACAUCGCUGUUGCUUAGAUGGAGCAAAUGACGUUGUUGCCGUAGACUUUGAAAACAACAAGUCUUUUGUUCUUGCUGCGGUGAGCACGCUAUCCUGUGACCAGUGGAACCCGGACAAGUGGCAAGUCAACAUAUCAGCAGAGCUUAGACUAGCCACAGUGGGAGUAACUUCGGUAGUAACAUCGAGUCCAACUCAGCAAUUUUGCUUAUGUGGCAAUGAGUUAAUGAGGAGAGAUGUAGUACUAGUAACUUAGCUAGUUACUGUAACAUCACAUGUCCCAAUGCAAUAUGAGUCUAUAACGUAAUAAAUGAAGCUUUGCAUGUUACCACACUUAUGUUACUACCCACUAUUGAGGUAGUAACAUAGAGUAGUAACAUGGGCAUGUUACUACUCUAUGUUACUACCCAUUGUGGCUAGUCUUAGGCUGGUCACAAUGGGGAGGAACUUAGGAGUAACAUCACACACUCCAAUACUACUUUGCUUAUGUGGCACAUAUUUAAUGAAGAGAGAGGUGCUUGUGGUAACUAGCUAAGUUACCGGAACAUCACACACUUCAAGAAACAAUGAGUCUAUAACCUAAUAAAUACAUCAUUGCAUGACACUACAUAGAUGUUCCUACCUACUACGAAGGUAAUAACAUAGUCUAGGAAAGUGUGUAAGUUACUUCUUACCCAUUGUGACCAGCCUUAGAGAUCAUUUUAUAGUUACGAUGCUCAAGAGGUACUAGAGUAGUAGUAGUAAGCAGCGCAUAGGUAAUUUAGUAGCAAUGCCCGUAGGCGAAUUAUCAUCGAGCACGUGAGCGAUCGAGCUCCUAGUCAAGAUUCAAGAAGCCACUUGAAUUUCCAACAUGCCAAGAUUCAAGAUUCAAGACACUGACUGCAGUACCAAUAGCAAGUGGGGAACGCUGACGUUCAGUUGGCCAAUGAAGGCAAAGGGUCCUGCCCAGUUCAUGCACGGCUUCUUGGUGGAAAUUUCCUUUCGCUUUCCUCUGGCGUAUUGGCGCCCCAUCGCACUGGCGACCGCACCGCCCCGUCGCUCCUUUUUUUCCUUUAUCUUUCCGUUUUUAACCAGUUUUUUUGUCUCUUUUGAGUUUAUUUCUUGAACGCCGAUAACUGUCACACGUGUGGGCGUUAAGGAAUCUGCCCACAUGUUUUGUGUGGCGCCUAAGAGGACCAGCCCACACGUCUGUGUGUGGGCAAAACAACUAGCGCCCACACGUCUUCUUUUCCCCUCCCGGUCCCUCUUACACGCGUGCGUGUGGGCGAAAUAGAUAACGCCCACACGUCCGGUACGUCAGGCCUCGUACCUCGUGGUCCCACACGCCCCACGUGACACUUUACCGCGCGCCCCGCAGUUGCCAUGGGCCGGACCCUCGUCCAUGUUCGCUUAAGUGCAGUUGCCAUGUCGCUGAACUACGGUUGCCAUGUCGGACAACUACAGUUGCCAUGUUUGCUCAACUGCAGUUGCCAUCUCAGGUCACAGUUUCAGAUUGACAACUACAGCUGUUGCCAUGGGUGGUCUGGUCUACUGCAGUUGCCAUGAUUUGAAAACUUUAGGAGUUGCCACCUACUAACACUAGGCAGUUGCCAUGUAGCGCUACGAAAAAGGCAUGGCAAAAAACAUGUUCGGGUAAAAGAGAGAGUUGCCAUGUGGUCACAAGCACGCUAGGGCAGUUGCCAUUUAAAAAAAAGAGUUGCCAUCUGCUUACGUGCACGCUAGGGCAGUUUGCCAUGUACCAUGCAAAACAUAUGGCAACUGACAUGUUCGGGUAAAAAAAAGAGAGUUGACAUCUGCUUGCAAUCACACUAGGGCGGUUGCCAUGUACACUGCAAAACGCAUGGCAACUGACAGCUUGGGUGUGGGAGAGGAGGCGGACGUGUGGGCGAGAUGGCAAACGCCCACACACCAGCCCUUGUGCGUGACUGAAAACUGGUGUGUGGGCGAACUGCUAAGCGCCCACACACCGGCCCCUCGGUGUGGUAAAACGGAUGUAUGGGCGACCUCUCUCACACACCACACACGCGAGUUGUCCUACGUGGCAUACAAAAUCAGCUAAUUCGUGUCAAGAUUCGUGCAGAAGUUAUUAGACGGUGAUGGAGGCGUGUGGGUGAGUUGGCUAACGCCCACACGUGUGGGCGUUACACUUUUUGUAUUUCUUUUUCUUCUUUUGUUUCUUCUUUUUUUUCAUCGUUAAUUAAAUUUUUUUCUUUGCAUUUUCUUUGUUUCUCUUUUAAAUUUUCCUUUCACUUUUAUUUUUCUGAAUAUACUCUUUCCUGUUUACAUUACUAUUUUUUGGAAUUGUCAUGAUAAAUAUUCGUUAAUAUACGAUGAACAUUUUAUUAAAUACAAGAUGAAUUUUCUGAAAACACGACAUACAUUUUCUUACAUACGAUGGAUCUCUAGCCAAAAAUAAUCAAAAUUCGAUUCUCAAAGAACUUGUGAAAAAUACAGUUUGGAGACCCCUUGAACUAGACCGACAACCCUUGAACUAGAUUGGUUGAAGCAGCAUACAUACAUAUUACAAUUUUGCAUUUUAAAUUUGAAGACUAAAACACGAGCAACAAUCACUCCCACUAACACCGCGGUGUUGCGAAAAACACGAGCAUUCCUCUCCUUCCAAAUUUCCCACGAGAUAAGCAUCAUUAAAGAGCGUGGUAGUUCUCUCUCCUCAAGUCUCAGAUCCGUUUUCAUCACCCUUUGGUAUGUUUCGUGGGGAUCUUUUUUAUUCAGCGCAUAAAUGUUGAUUCGUUCAUGUGUUUAGAAGUAAGAGGUGCAGCAUGCCAGGGUCCUCGAAGGAGUAGUAGAGCAGAGGAUCUUCUUAGCGAUUUGGAUGUACAGAGUUUAUGAUACAAAGACCUAUUUUAUUUUUGUACCGGCUAUUGAAUUUUCUCCUUUCUAUCUCCGAACCCUUUUGAUAUGUUCUUUACUCCUGAUUUCAGCCUUUUAAGGAUUGCGGAGAGCAUGGAUCGCCAUAUGGAAGGAGAUGCCAUCCUUACUGUCGUUGUUUUUGGCAUGUUGCUGCCAUCUUUCUAAUUCUUGCACUGCAGAGACCUUAGUCUAUCCAUGUAUGUCAUGCCUUCUAUUCAAUUUUUUGACUUUUAUGUACACGUGUGCUCUUGCAUUACUUACUAGAUCGUGUUGUAUACGAUGAUCCAUUGUCAGCUAUACAAAUGUUCUAAUUUUAAAACUUUGUCAAGUUCAGUUCAGAUUUAAUUUUACUUCACCUCUUUUUGCAUGGACAAUGUGUGUGGUGUAUAGACGACCACUGUGUGAAAUUCAUAGGCAUUGUGAGGGCAUGGAGAAAGGAUUUGAUUUUGAUUCUUUUUUUCAGGGUUCAGAACUGUUACCUUGCUACACCUACACAUGUGGAAACUUAAACUUGGCAGUCUAAAAUUAAGCAGCAAACUUCAUUGCCGGUCAUCUAAAAAUUCAGUGACAACAGCUGGCACACGAGCUUCAUUUUUUAGUAGAGAUAGUAGAUGAUGCAGAUGACAGUUCUACCUCUUUGACUGAAACAAGAACUUUCUCACCAAGGGCAUACCUACAAGACAGGGGCAUACCUGCAGGACAACAUGAGGUCCUCAGGCACGCAUCACACAUUCACCAAAGAUAUGGAGCUACCAUUUUAGAUUAGUACUAGCAUAUUGGUACAUAGUGUGUGUUUUAGCAUAUUAGUAGUAGCAUACCUGCAGGAGGUCCUAAGUUUGUUCAGUUCUAUACAAAUUUGAGUUGGUAUGUAGUGUUGAGAGGAUCCUAAAAUAUUGUACUACAUAAUCUCUUUCCAGGUUCUUGAAAACCUGCACUCUUCUGUUGAAUUUCGCAUUUUGGUCGAUCUGUACUGCAUCUUUUAUUGUUGUCAGCCUAGAAUUAUAUCGCAUUUUGAUCUUGUACGGGCAGAUUCAUAAUUAUGCCUUCAUACUAAUUUGACUGCACAAGGCUGCAAUAUUAUUUCAUGGUCCACAACAGAACUGAAGGUGCCAAAAUGAAACUUUCUUCUUCUCAUGUAUCAAAGUAUUAACCAACCAAUUUUUUUAGUAUCUAAAUUGUUAAGUUUAGGAUGAUAACAGAAAGGGUUGUCUUGAAGAUCCUUUUAGAUUUGUACUAGGAGGCCUUUGUAUAUGCAGAUAUUCCAGUUUAUUAAUUAAUCUACCAGCGGUGGUUUGGAUUGGCUCAUGACCUUAUGUUGAUGCCCAUUUAUAUCUGAGAACUAAGGGGUCUAUUCUUUUAACCAUGAACCGAUUUAAGUAGCAAGUCCAGUUUUUGUUGGUUAGUUGUAUCAUUGUUCUUCAACACUGAGCACUAAUUGAUAACCAGCCAUGAUCAUCCAUCCAUCGAUUUAGUUUGCUUUUUUUUCUUUUGUUAGUUCUAGCUAAGUGAAAUCUAUCUGAAGCUUUGAACCUUAACAACGCCCGUGAUUUGACUCUUGGUGCUUGUGAAUUCUGAAUGAAGUACAAGCAGCCAAUCUUUCUGAAUGAAUUUGUUGAUGAUUUGCAUGGUUAUUCUUCAUUCUGGGUGCAUGGCUAUUCUUGCGUUUGAGCCUUAGGCAAGCCGCAAUGAAAUCUGAUUGCACUGUUUUGUGAGCCAUUUAAACUGAAAUCAUUCAUCCAUUUUAUUCAGAAAGUUCAUCCCAAUAUUUUGGAUCACUACACAGAAUUUGUUUCAACUUGCCAUGUGUCAGUUCACCAACAGUACCGAGACUAUGCAACUUGGAACAUCAAGUAAGAGCAUAUCCAUGUUUUACUUAUUAUAUUCUUUGAGAAAGCUAUGGGAUUUACAAACUAAAAAUAUGAAUUGUUCAAAAAAAUUUCGAACAAUGUUGUUCUGUUAUGGUUGUAAUUGUUUGAGUGGUAUUUUUUUUACUGUUUAAGCAUAUAUUUAUUUAUUUUGCAUGGCACUUUUGCUAAUAUAAAUUACAAAUGAUAUAUAAUAUUCCAAAAAAUGUUUGUCACCAUAAAAAGGAUUCCAAUUUAAAAAUUAUUCUUGAUUUUUUUAAUACAUCCAAAAAGGAAAUACUCCUUGUAACCUUAUCUCCAGCGUUUCCAAAAUUUAGAUUAAAAAGUUAUAUUUAAUAUUUCGCCCGGUGCAACGCACGGGUAUUUGUACUAGUCUAUAUCUAUCUAUAUCUAUAUCUAUAUCUAUACCUACUAAUAAAGCAAGGUGCGUUUCUCCGAUUUUUUUCAUCCGUUCACCAUCGAAAAGAUUUUUUUUUCUAUUCGAGGUGGUACUAAAGUUUUGUCCGUUCGUCUAUUAGAAAAGGAAAAAUGCCAGAUUACGUACAUGGGCCGCUCGCAGUGUGGCAUAGGAAAGCUAGCCCAGUUAUUUUCAUGUUCAUGUAUGUGUGAAAGUCCUAUUUAUCGCACUGAGCGUUAGAUAGUUGCAAAUUCGCACAGGGAGCCAAGCUGGGCUGGCCCGUUUUCUUUUUUUCUUUUGUGUUAUGUUUCUAUUUUUCUUUUUCGUUUCUUGCUCUUCUUCUAUGGUCUUUUUUCCUUUCAAGUUUUUUUCCAUUUUUUCGGAAAUCCAAAAUUUUGAGAAAAUUUCACAAUCAUAAAAAUUUGACUUUUCAAAGCAAUGUUCAGAGUUAUAAAAUUUAUUACAUUUUUUUUAAUUUGUGUUAUGAUUCUAUUUUUCUUUUUCAUUUCUUUCUCUUCUUAUUUGGUCUUUUUUCCUUUCAAGUUUUUCCCCUUUUUCAUAAAUUCAAAAUUUGGAAAAAAGUUCAUAAUAUCAUAAAAGUUUGACUUUUUAAAAAAUUCUCAGAAUUAUAAAAUUUAUUCCAUUUUGAAAAAUGUUCAGAACAUCAAAUAUUUGUUCCCGUUCCAAAAUAGUUGCAAAUUCGCACAGGGCGUCUGAGCUGGGCUGAACCGUUUUGUUUUUUUGUUCUGUGUUAUGUUUCUAUUUUUUUUCCAUUUCUGUCUAUUUUUCUUUCCUAUUCUUUUGUCCUUUUUUUCACGUUUAUUUUUCUUGCUCCCUUUUUGCGUAAAUUAAAAUUUUCUUAUAAGUUCAUUAUAUAAAAAAAUUAGAUUUUCUAAAAAAUGUUCGGGAUUUUAAAAUAUAUACCGUUUUGCAAAAUGUUAAGAACAUUAAAUAUUGGUUCUCAUUUAAAAAUUGGUUUAGAAUUUUAAAAUAAUGUUCCAUUUUUCUUUGUGUUUUCCAAAGUUGUUUGAGAUUUUCCAAAAAAGUAUUUAAAAAAUGUUCUAAAUACGAAAAAUAUUCUUGUUUUAGUGAAAUGUUCGCAAAUUCAAAAUAAUGUCAAGAAACAUAUUUUCAAAAUUUGUUCUGAAUGUUCAAAAUAUGUUUCAUUUUUAAAAAAUCACAAAUUAAAAACAUGUUCAUGGUAUUAUAAAAGGUUUUUGUUUUCAAAUAAAAUUGUGAAUUUUGAGUGUUUCAUAUUUUGUUGUCUAUUUAUGAAAAUGUAAAGAAUUUCAGAAAAUGUUUGGGAUUUUCAAAAUUAUUCAUGUUUCCAGGAAUGUUCAACAAUUUAUAUAUUUUAAACAGUUCAACUUUUUUUUCCAAUCUGACCUUGGAGUAUGAUCUUAAAGGUUUGAGAUGGCCAUUGGUUGAUAGGACUCGUUUCUUUGAGUGGCUAGCAGCAUGUAGUCGGGUCUUUGAGGACAUGAUUUUGAUCCCUCAACUCAUCAAUUUUUUUGAUUUUUUUCGUGCCUUACUAACACAGGUCGUCUUGGCGCCUACCUGUGUGUGUCCCAUGCGCUAUUUUACGCAACUAGUGUUAUGUAGUAGCCCCCACACAGUUGGCCCAAAAAAAAUUGGUCCGUCGCAUAGGCUGUAUUAUGCCUCAGCUACACUCCCCUACUGGGUCGUUCGAGGGAGCAAUUUUUUUUCCUUGGGCCAAUAAACAAGAAUGUUGGUUUGGCUCGAAUAAAAAUAUUGUAGUCAUGCGAGCGUUAAAAUAAUUAAAGAGAAUAAACCCUAAUAGAGAAGGGACAUUGGUGUUUGGUUAUGCGCUAAAUAUGCUAAUGAAAUGGGAUUUAUGCGCUACAAUUAGUAAUCCACCCGGUUAUGCCAUCGUAAGAGAGAAUGGUCGAAGCAACUGUGCCCCGAAGGUCACCGCAUAGCUACCAAAUGAGAGGCGGACACAACCCCUAGGCAGUGGCGGACCUCAAGGGAAAAAAGGCACGAGUUGGAGCCACACCGACUAACCCCACCACUAUCAAGAUCUCGCGGGACAAACAUGACCCGCGAGAAGACCACAACUCCUCUCUCUAUUGCACCGCUAUGGAGACCAUUUUUGGUGGACACAUUAAUUAUCUCUCCCAUUGCUUCUCCAAAGAAACAUCUAUCCCUAAUCUUUUCCUAAUCCUAAUCCUAAUCCUAAUCCUAAUUCCUAAUUUCCUAUUUCCUAAUUUUUUCUUUCCCUAAUAAUAAAGCACGGAUCGACUUUGUCGGGUUCACCGUCACAAUACGCUUUCUUCUCAUGUUAUAAUACGCUUUCAGUUUGAAUUUAAAACAUAUUCGAGGUGGUACUAAAUUUCUAAUGGUCCAAAAAUCUAUUUAAGAACUUACACUUGGUUGCUGCAUUGGGCCUCGGCGCGCCUAGGCCUCAGCCCAUCAGACCCGUCCGAUCUGAGGAGGCAAAAAAUAGGAGCUGGCGUGGUGGAUCAAACUCCCGACCUGAGAUACUAACACAAAGCCCAAGUCCAUCUGAGUUACAUCAUUGUUGUUAAUAGAAAAGAUUAUUUGUUAACUUAUUAAAUAGUCCCACCUCGCUUGCUUAUACUGCAUCAGAACAACUUAUAUACGUUUAUAAUUUGAUGUCAAUUAGCCUCCUGAAGAAUCAAUUGACAGAAAGAAAAGUCAUAAAAGAGGGAAUCAAUUUCGAUAUGGUCCAGGAAGGAAAGGAAUAAAGAGGGCAUAAAUUCUCUUCUAUGAGAAAAAAGGAAGGAAGGAUAUGGAAAUAUAAUAUGGGCCAAUGGGAGAGACAUGGAAACAAAAAUCUUAGAAUGUGUCACACAAGGAAGGAGAUGGAAAUUAAUAUCUCAAGGACCAAUGAGGCGAGGAACACACAGUGGGCUAUACAUGAAUUGCGUUCCAGGUCGGCCAGUCGCGUGGCCGUGGCCAUGGCGCCGCUGUAGCUCCGGCGACGCAAGGCAGGCAACGGGCAGCGGCGGCGCGAGAUCAUAUUGCGUGGGUCUAGGGACUGUCAAACAUAUGCACAACAGCCGUGCAUAGUUGAUACACCUGCAUGCAAAUUAAAGAAAAUCGAUCCAAUACUAUGGACUCAUGUAAAACGACAACGGCCGUGCAUUAAUUGGUAGACCUGCCUAGAAAAGCAAAGGUAAGUAAAAUUCUCUUUUCGCAAAAAAAGUAAGUAAAAAGGCUAUUCUGAUUUAUAUGUUUCUUGUUAUUAUUUGCUCCCAGUCAACAAUAUGUUUCCUGUGCCGAGGUGACCGGCGGAUCGGCGGUGCCCCAGUUGCAUCAAUGACAUGUUUUACUAUAUACGCCAAAUCAAGGAGGAGGGCCUCACGAUUUUAAGGUGCUCGACAAAGCAUGUGCCGCCUAGCAGAAGUUGGCCACGCUAGACCCGCUGGCACAGUGGCACCCUUCACCAUCGCACGAGGAAGAGGACCCAUUGUUCAGUGUUUACUCUAUAGCGACGCACGAGCGUUAUGCCAUAGUAUGAUCACAAGCACAUCACUUUAGAUUGAUCAUGUUAGUCGUGAAUAGAUGGACAAUAUAAGCAUCAUUGGCGAUGGUGACAUGGAGGAGAAAUGGUAUCAUAAUAGAAUAAGUUGCUAAGCGCAUAUGAGGAUUUGUUUCUUCCGUUGCAACGCACGGGCACAUUUCCUGUUGUCAUUCAUUUCAAAUGAGGGGGGAGGGGGGAUAAGCGGUAACAUGGGGUGCUGUUUUGAAAUAGAUGCCAUGUACCUAUUUUUGUGGCAGGAGGGGGUCAGUCAUGUGAUGUUUCUCUUUCUUCCCGUUGCAACGCACGGGCAUUUUUGCUAGUAAUAAUAAAGCACGGAUUGACUUUGUCGGGUUCAUCGUCACAAUACGCUUUCUUCUUAUGUCAUAAUACGCUUUUACGAUUGUAUAGAUAAGAUCGUAAUAUAAACGAGGUGGUACUAUUCAUGUGAUCAUGGGGCCCGUCACGCACGACGUUAGUUCUGGUCACCUGGUACUACUCAAACACGUAGACACUAGCUAGGAAACAAGACACGCGACGCCCAAACCGAAUCAAACUCAAACACCAACUUGCGACGUCUACGUACACAAGCACAAUUCCAUGGGCAGCCACGCAAGAGAUCACCGAUCGGGGCAUCAUCGGAAGCCACCACAGCCAAGAACAAUUAAGCAAGGAUCGAUGGCGGCACACGAGCAGGAGAAGCAGCAGGACGAUGAUGCCUCGGCACAGAGGUCGCCGUUGCCACACAAAGUCGUCACGGAAAUCCCUGCCUACCCGCCGGCCAAGUCCGCGGGGUGCUUCUGCUGCGUCUCACGUUCGUGGCAGGCCACGCUCUCGUCGCUGCGCUUCUUCGAGCUCCACCUCCGGCGGGCAAACCACAGGCCGUCGCCGCCGGCUGGCCAAAGCUCUUCUUCAGUCCCACGGACGAGCCCUCGGACGACUACUUUUUUUACGCCUGGCAGCCCGGCGGCACGGCGACGAAGCUAAUGCGUAACGACUUGCUGCGCCCCGCCCUCCUCACCAAGACGCUAUGAUAGGUGAUAUGUACAGAACCCGUACUCUAAAAACUAGGAAAACGGUUGAGCCGAACAAAACCUCGUUUGGUUACUAAAAUAAAUCCACGUAUAUAGGAAACUAGGAACUGUACAACCCAGGAUUUCGGGUUUAUAGAAAAACGAGUAUUAUCCAUUUUUCCACAAACGCGAUUGCUAAAUGUGUGAGCGCAACAGUUAUUUCUUCACCCGCUCGUUUCUCAACAACUUUGUUGGCGUUUUGUAUUUUGCUGCGGGGAUCCACUCAUCGAGAGAAUAGGAACAGGCUUAUCCAAACAAGGAAGUGUACGUACCAGAUUUUACACUCUCCCAACCCAAACGUGACUUUCUAUAUACUGGUUAUUUGUAAAAUCACAACUAAAACUGAUUCGGCUAAAAUCCAGCUAAAAACUUGUUUUCUAUAUACCGAUCGCUAAUCCUCCUUAUCCAAACAACGCCUUAGCCCAUCUAGGCAAAAAUAACUGCCAGGCAUCCUAGAAUAAGGAAAAAAAUAUUGCUCUUUUUUGGGAUCAACCCAAGAACCUCCACGUUAUUACGUAGUAAAGGAUGCAACCAGCAGAGCUGCCUUUCGGUUUCUUUUAGAAGACAAAGUUUGCUUAUGUUAAUUGAUAGUACCACCUUGCUACUUUACAUCAAAUCCUACCGAUUUUUAUAUGUCCGCAAGUAGACAAUCAACAAGUCUCUCCGAAAGAAAGAAAAAUGGGGUGAGGUGUGGGUUUAGUUUAUCGUACGAGAUCAGAUGGAUCGAGAGAGAAGGGCAUACAUGAGAUAGCUGGUUGCAGGUGCCAACAAGAAAGAGAUCCGAUCCAAUAAACAGAGAGAGGACGCGUCUACUCAUGGGAUGGGUUCUGUCUAUUUUCCUUUUCUACUUUCGUUUUAUUUCAAACAAAAAUUGGAUUGUUUGAACCAAAAUUCAUUCAAAUGCCUUGUAAAAUUUAUGUUUGCUUAUAUGGAGCACUAAAGAUCCAAAUAAAAUAUUUACAUAGGAGUAUUACAUAUAGUUAAUAUUUCCUGUUCAAAUUCAAACUAAAUUUAAAUUCAAGUAGGUUCAAACUCUAAGUAUGUCAUUUGAAGUAUUCACAAAGUUUAUGAUAUUUCAUAAAGUAAAAGUAUCUCAUUUGAUAGAUUUUUGAUCUACGAUAUAGUUGCAUUCAGGGUUAUAUAAAUCAUACUAUAUGACAUAAAUAUCAUGCAUCUACCUUAAAAUAUACAUUAGUUUUUACCAUGAAUGCAUGAGUCCCUCACUAAAAAAGGAGAGCUUGAUUAUUGUGGCUUGCACGCUGUGUUUUGUCAUUAAGAAAGUGCGUGGACAUUUUUUUAUUCCGUUGCAACGCACGGGCCCUUACGUUUCUUCCCGUGAAUUUAUGCUUUCAGUUUUUUUCUUCAACACGUCUAUAUUUAUUUCUAUACCCAAGGUGGUACUAAUCUAUCUAUAUAUCCCCUGUUGCGUUGUUGUUUUCGUCCGCCCCGUUUAGGUGAUUUUUUCAUAUAUAUGUUGCCCAUUUGGAGUCUUUUCGUUCACAAGCACUCCUGGUCUCUCCGCUCGUGUUUGUUUCCUACACGAGACACCAAUCUCCGCAACCCUGGCUGCCGCCUCUAACCCUCCAAUAAAUACUAGCUCAUGAAAGAGAAGGCAAAAGGUGGAUCCGGCGGUAGAGGCGGACUAGCAGAUAGAGCCAUCGGACGAGAGCAGGCAUACGAUGAGGCAAGUUCCACAGGGUGCUUCGUCCCUCCUGCCGACCGUGAGCGAAAAGGAUGGAAGAGGAGGGCUAGGCGGCAAACCUUCGGAACCAGUUGAGAAGCGAGUCCCAGAGCCCCGUGGUGCUUUCUGACAACGCUCGAGACCGUCCGUCGCCUACGCGCCCGCCUAAUCUAUCGAGGGAAUUAGCUGUUCCCGAUUGGAGAGGAGGAAGAAGGGAACACGAGGACGAGACGACCGAGAUGUCCGUUGUCUAGCAGCAGACGGUGGGUUUAACGAGGACAUCGGCUGUGCUGGUGUGCCGCGUGUGUCCGGUAACUGUGUCCGGCGAGCGUGACGUGCGAUGCGCGCUCAUGUGCACCACUCGGGCGGCAAAGCAUGCUGGCCGGCUGCAUGCGUCUCUGUCGUCAUGUGCGUGACGUGUGUCCAGCGUGCUGGGCUUGGUGUGCGUAAUUAUCUGAUGGUCUGCUCUCUACACAAGCCACGGUCCUUCGGCAUCAAGAACAACAUGCAUCGGGAAGGAAGCAUCCCUGGUUUUUUUUUUGUUCACUUCAGUGCUCUGGUACGCAUCUCUAAUUGCGUGGUUGCAUAGUAGGAGAAGAGGGGUGGGUUGUGACUUGAACAUAUGAUCUGGUUAUCUUGGUGUCAUUUGUGAACUAAGUUGGCUAUAUUUCUUUUAGUUAAAAGAAGCACAGAGUAGAUAUAGAUAAUAAACAUAGGAAGUGACAUGAGGGAGAAUUCAGAGUCAUAGCUUCAGUUCAGGGUAUCGAGCAUAUAUUUUACAAAUUCUUUUUUUAUGGAAUAUAUUACAGAUUCAAUUCAAACCCAGGAAGCAUCAAACAUGUUAAUAUGAAUUCCUCCAAGAAAAGAUAAGUGUCUAUAAUUUUUUCUGAUAAAAUACGUUUUGAUGCGAGUUCCACACAAAAAAAAAAUUCUUAUCUAAAAAAUAUGAGCAGAUUAUGCUUGCUGCAUUAUUAUUUUUGAAUAGAUGCUUACUGCAACUAUCACACUCGAUUGGUUAGCUUGCUGCUGCUAUUACUUCAAAUUUUUUGAUAUUGCUAUUUAUUUCAUGUUUUACUUUUAAAUUUUAGAAUGUACCAAUAGUCAUCUAAAGAAUGAAUUAACAAUAAAAUUACACUCUUUAGUCAAAUCAAAUUACAGGGAAUCAUACCCAUGCAUGUCCUGAUCAACGAUCCAUCCAUUGUCUUAUGGCAUAGUUGCUCGACCUGUCCCAUUCAUAGGAACCGUUGUUUUUUUUCCCGUUGCAACGCACGGGCAUUUGUGCUAUAUAUAAUAUAAUAAUAAAGCACGGAUUGACUUUGUCGGGUUCACCGUCACAAUACGCUUCUUCCCGUGAUUUUACGCUUUUAGUUUGAAUCUAAAACAUAUUCGAGGUGGUACUAUUCCUGUACGUCAAAAUCGUUACGAUCCUGCCGGUACGACAAAGACUUGGUCCUUCUGGCUGUACGCUGGCCCAGCUUGCAACGCAGGGAGGAAAAAAGACUUGGUCCUUCUGGCUGUAAGUUGGCCCAGCUUGCAACGCAGGGAGGAAAAAAGACUUGGUCCUUCUGGCUGUACGUUGGCCCAUCUUUAGUGCAACGCAGGGAGGAAAAAAAUACAUGCUUGUUACGAUCCUGCCGGUACGACAAAGACUUGGUCCUUCUGGCUGUACGCUCGCCUAGCUUGCAACGCAGGGAGGAAAAAAGACUUGGUCCUUCUGGCUGUACGUUGGCCCAUCUCCAGUGCAACGCAGGAAGGAAAAAAGACUUGGUCCUUCUGGCUGUACGUUGGCCCAUCUUCAGUGCAACGCAGGGAGGAAAAAAAUACAUGGUUGCAAUAGGAUUUGAACUCGCAACCUUCCACACAAUACCUCUAGCGCCAGCCAACUGAACUAGGUUGGCCCAUGUUAUUUAUCUUCGCUUGGUUUUCUAAACAAAUAGUACCACCUCGCCCUUUUACAAGGACAACCAUCAAUUUAUAUACAUGUUCAAGUUACCUGUCAUCAAUCAUCCUAAUAAGCCAGCCCGGAAAUUGGUAAUCAGAGGAUGAUGAGGGUGCCCAAAAAAGAAAAUAUUGAAGGAAGGAGGGAAGCAAGGAAGGAUUCUCAAAAAAGAAGGAAGGACAAUAUGGUGGGCAAUUAAACGGGGCAAGGAAGGAAUCAGUACUAUAUGAAAUAAUAAAAAAGGGAUUCCUAAUGCAUGAUUGACAAAUAUGGUGGGCAAUUAAACGGGGCAAUUAAGAAAUAUUCCUUCCCAAGACACGCUUGAAUGCUUGCUGCAUAAUAUAAUAGGAUUCCUAAUGCGUGCUUGUGAAUUAUGAGGGGCAAUUAAGAGAGAUUCCUAAGACACGUUAUGUAUGCUGCAUAAAUAGUAAAGGUGCGUGGGAUAAUUAGGAAAGGGAUUCAUGCAUACUUGCAUUGCACGUUAUGUAAACAGGAUUCAGACUAAUUAAGUGGCUGGCAGAUUUUUUGUGCUAGCUGAUUACAAUUAUUACUUCAAUGGCUUCUAUUUGAUGUUACUAAAACAUACUCUCAACCUCUUUCUCUACACCAUCUUAUGCAUGCAAUGACCACCACAGCUAUGUUCUCUACUCUAUCUCAUUUGAGCAUGCAACUUACACGACGAAACAUCACAUUCCAACAAGAGGCUGCAUUAAUGAAUGCGAAGAAGCUCGCUGCCAAGGCUAUACAUGAUCGUCCAAUAGAGGCGGGAAUGAGGACAAUGGGGCUUAGGAGAUGUUGAUAACAGACUGGGACAAAGAGACGAUGAAGGACGGAAAUAAGUCGGAGGAAUUUUAUUUUCAGAGACAGAUAACAACGUCUUCCGUUGCAACGCACAGGCACUUGUGCUAUCUUUCCCUAAUAAUAAAGCAUGGAUUGACUCCGUGGGUUCACCGUCACAAUACGCUUCUUCCCGUGAAUUUACGCUUUCAGUUUUUUUUCUUCAACACGUCUAUAUUUAUUUUCUAUAUCCAAGGUGGUACUAAUCUAUCUAUAUAUACACGAGACACCAAUCUCCAUAACCCUGGCUGCCGCCUCUAACCCUUCAAUAAAUACUGGCUCAUGAAAGAGAAGGCAAAAGGUGGGUCCGGCGGUAGAGGCGGACUAGCAGAUGGAGCCAUCGGACGAGAGGAGGCAUACGAUGAGGCAAAUUCCACAGGGUGCUUCGUCCCUCCUGCCGACCGUGAGCGAAAAGGAUGGAAGAGGAGGGCUAGGCGGCAAACCUUCGGAACCAGUUGAGAAGCGAGUCCCAGAGCCCCGUGGCGCUUUCUGGCAACGCUCGAGACCGUCCGUCGCCUACACGCCCGCCUAAUCUAUCGAGGGAAUUAGCAGUUCCCGACUGGAGAGGAGGAAGAAGGGAACACGAGGACGAGACGACCGAGACGUCCGUUGUCUAGCAGCAUACGGUGGGUUUGACGAGGACGGCGGGUGUGCCGCGUGCGUCCGGUAACGGUGUCCGGCGAGCAUGACGUGCGAUGCGCGCUCAUGUGCACCACUCGGGCGGCAAAGCAUGCUGGCCGGCUGCAUGCGUCUCCGUCGUCAUGUGUGUGGCGUGUGUCCAGCGUGCUGGGCUUGGUGUGCGUAAUUAUUUGAUGGUCUGCUCUCUACACAAGCCACGCUCCUUCGGCAUCAAGAACAACAUGAAUCAGGAAGGACGCAUCCUUAGAUAUUUUUUUGUUCGCUUCAGUGCUCUGGUACGCAUCUGGGCUGUGACUUGAACAUAUGAUCUGGUCAUCUUGGUGUCAUUUGUGAACUAAAUUGGCUAUAUUUUUUUGAAUUAAAAGAAGCACGGAGUAGAUAUAGAUAAUUAACAUAGGAAGUAUCAUGAGGGAGAAUUCAGAGUCAUGGCUUCAGUUCAGGGUAUCGAGCAUAUAUUUUACAAAUUCUUUUUUUUAUUGGAAUAUAUUUACAGAUUCAAUUCAAACCCAGGAAGCAUCAAACAUGUUAAUAUGAAUUCCUUCAAGAAAAGAUAAGUGUCUAUAAUAUUUUUCUGAUAAAAUACGUUUUGAUGCGAGUUUCACACAAAAAAAAAUUUCUUAACUAAAAAAUAUGAGCAGAUUAUGCUUGCUGCACUAUUAUUUUUGAAUAGAUGCUUACUGCAACUAUCACACUCGAUUGGUUAGCUCGCUGCUGCUAUUACUUCAGAUUUGUUGAUAUUGCUAUUUACUUCAUAUUCUACUUCUAAAGAAUGAAUUAUUAAUAAAGUUAUGCUCUUCAGUCAAAUCUAUUUACUGGGAAUCAUACCCAUGCAUGUCCUGAUCAACGAUCCAUCCAUUGUCUUAUGGCAUAGUUGCUCGACCUGGCCCAUUCAUAGGAACAGUUAUUUUUUUCCCGUUGCAUCGCACGGGCAUUUGUGCUAGUCUCUCCCUAAUAAUAAAGCAAGGAUUGACUUUGUCGGGUUCACCGUCACAAUACGCUUUUUCCCGUGAUGAAUUUACGCUUUCAGUUUUUUUAACACGUCCAUAUUUUUUCCAAAAUCCAAGAUGGUACUAAUCUAUUUAUCUUUCCCUCUUUUUUUUUCACUUCUUCCGUACAUGAUUUUUUCUUGGGCCCCUUAAUAUUUUUCGUCGAUGAGAUAGCAGCAAAAAUUAGUUGCUGUCUUUGGGAUUUGAACUCUAGACCUUCUUGGCUUUUCCAAUUACCACAACCAGCUAAUCUAGCUAUCAAUUCUGUUAGGUAACAUGAUGUACGUAAUCUUAUGGGCCAGAGUUGAUGGAGACUAGGACCAGCGUUCUAUCGACUGGGGGAGCAGCCAGUGUCGAUCAACAUAUUAGUUCGCCUUUUCUCAACAAAAAAAACAGCGUUCGUCUACGCUAAAAAAAACAGAUUCGUUCGUCUGGUUGCAAAAGUUUGAUCAGUCGAUCGUUCAUCCAUCAAAUAAUCCCACCUCGCUUCAUUACAUCGAAUCGCACCAGUUUAUAUACAAGUUGCUUAGAAAAUCAACAAGCCAGCUCCAAAAUCAAAUAGGCAAAGGGCAAACAGAGGGAUUGGUAGCACGAGGGUGAGCUUGGUUGGGCGCGCGGAGGCUGGGUGAUGCACCGAGGCGGGAUGUCCUACUGGCUACCGCAGCCGAGGGAUAGGGACGAGAGGAAUUGUGGGGAUCGGCGCGCGGCUGCCCAGACAAGGCCGGGCGGGCCGGCAGCCAGAGGAACAGAUCCAUUGGUGGUGCAGUCUGGAUGGAGAAGAGGCGCAGCGCUGGGUGGCCGGCCUCACGAGGAGGAACAUGGAUGGAGGCUCGCUGGACCCGGAUAGAUUCUUCUCUGUGGUCAAAUCAGUGAUCUGCUCUCUGUGCAAUGAGAAGAGAUGCAUGUACUUCUAAUAUUUGUAUGUAAGUUUCAAACGGCUGUUGGAAGAUGAUAGGUGUGUAAGUCAUGUAUCCUAAUUCCUAAUGAGAAAGAUAUGUGUCGUGAUGUUAUUAUGCAAUAUAUGUGCCGAGCGCCUGUGCUCUCACCAUUCCCAGCUAAAUGCAACAUGGUCGGAGCAUGUAAAUCAAUCAGAGCACAGGGAGCCAUCUCAUUAUCUUUCCGUAAAGAAAAACUAUGGUGGACUAACUGAUCUUUAAAUCAGUUUAUGAAAGAGCCCAAUGCAAAAAAAUGCAUGUUGGGUCUUUGAAACAGUUCAAAUCAUUUCGAUAAUAAUCCGUUUGAUCUGUUUUACCGAGAAGGUCUACGGUUCGAAUCCGUAUAGCCCUAAUAUGCCCUUUUUUAGAUUUUAGGAUCUCUAUCCUAUGUUUUCUUUAGUUUAGUAUAGUUUUCAUUUUCUCAUUAGUAUUUGUUUAUAGACUGGAUAGGCGCCUGCGACAUAGAAUAGAGAUAAAAGCAUUACCAAAGGCUCAUUCAUCGAAAAUCAAAAUCAUACAGACAGGAAAAGAAAAACGAAUUUCUAUCAAAUCAAUAGAAGAAAGGAUCCUUUCCCUGAUUUGAAUCCCGUCCUCCUUCAAAUAGGAUAUCUCUAGACUUCCCUAUAAUAACUGCAAUGAUUUUAUCCAUUUUGCGAAUUCCUACUUUAGUUUUAAGUAUAUUUAUUACUUUGUUUAUAGAUACAUUAUGUAAAUUGGUCAACUUUAAAUAGAAAAAAUAAAGUAAAGAGUAAAUAAGAAAACAGAAUAUUCUGUCUCAUAGUUCUGAAAUAGAGUUCUUUAUUUUUAUUUUAUAGUAUUACUUCUCAUUAAUUAUACUGCAUAGAUUAGUCCUACUAUCUUAAUUAGGUUCUAAUUUAGUAGUAUUCUCAUUUUUAUUUAAUAGUCUCUUAUUAUUUUAUUAUUAAAUAUUAAAUAAAGGAUAGAGCUAUUCUUUUUUCUAGAGAUUCUAGAGAAAGCGAGACAAAGUGAAACGAGAAAGUUUUCUUUAUAUAAGAAUUAGAUCUACAUACACCAUAUCUAAAUAGAAUGGAAAUCCAAAAGAAAGGGAGUUGGGAUUCCAUUGGAUGAAUCUUUAAAGAAGAUGCAGCACAGAGGAAACAAAGGCUAAACUAAGCGCUUUUGUUUGAACAAAAAAGAUUCUUGUUUCACCGAGGAAAAGAGAGAAGUUCUGGAUAAAUUGACAAUGCUGAAUUGAAUUGACUAAUUUAAGUUCAGCCUAUUCCACAUUAAUGGGAGUACAUUAUGUUUCUGCUUCACGAAUAUGAUAUUUUUUGGACAUUUCUAAUAAUAGCAAGCCUUAUUCCUAUUUUGGCAUUUUCGAUUUCAGGACUUUUAGCCCCGGUUAGUGAAGGACCAGAGAAGCUUUCUAGUUAUGAAUCGGGUAUAGAACCCAUGGGAGGGGCUUGGGUACAAUUCCGAAUACGCUAUUAUAUGUUUGCGCUCGUUUUUGUUGUUUUUGAUGUGGAAACCUUCUUUCUAGAGAUUCUAGAGAAAGCGAGACAAAGUGAAACGAGAAAGUUUUCUUUAUAUAAGAAUUAGAUCUACAUACACCAUAUCUAAAUAGAAUGGAAAUCCAAAAGAAAGGGAGUUGGGAUUCCAUUGGAUGAAUCUUUAAAGAAGAUGCAGCACAGAGGAAACAAAGGCUAAACUAAGCGCUUUUGUUUGAACAAAAAAGAUUCUUGUUUCACCGAGGAAAAGAGAGAAGUUCUGGAUAAAUUGACAAUGCUGAAUUGAAUUGACUAAUUUAAGUUCCGCCUAUUCCACAUUAAUGGGAGUACAUUAUGUUUCUGCUUCACGAAUAUGAUAUUUUUUGGACAUUUCUAAUAAUAGCAAGCCUUAUUCCUAUUUUGGAUUUCCAUUCUAUUUAGAUAUGGUGUAUGUAGAUCUAAUUCUUAUAUAAAGAAAACUUUCUCGUUUCACUUUGUCUCGCUUUCUCUAGAAUCUCUAGAAAAAAGAAUAGCUCUAUCCUUUAUUUAAUAUUUAAUAAUAAAAUAAUAAGAGACUAUUAAAUAAAAAUGAGAAUACUACUAAAUUAGAACCUAAUUAAGAUAGUAGGACUAAUCUAUGCAGUAGAAUUAAUGAGAAGUAAUACUAUAAAAUAAAAAUAAAGAACUCUAUUUCAGAACUAUGAGACAGAAUAUUCUGUUUUCUUAUUUAAUCUUUACUUUAUUUUUUCUAUUUAAAGUUGAUCAAUUUACAUAAUGUAUCUAUAAACAAAGUAAUAAAUAUACUUAAAACAAAGUAGGAAUUCGCAAAAUGGAUAAAAUCAUUGCAGUUAUUAUAGGGAAGUCUAGAGAUAUCCUAUUUGAAGGAGGACGGGAUUCAAAUCAGGGAAAGGAUCCUUUCUUCUAUUGAUUUGAUAGAAAUUCGUUUUUCUUUUCCUGUCUGUAUGAUUUUGAUUUUCGAUGAAUGAGCCUUUUGUAAUGCUUUUAUCUCUAUUCUAUGUCGCAGGCGCUUAUCCAGUCUAUAAACAAAUACUAAUGAGAAAAUGAAAACUAUACUAAACUAAAGAAAAAGUAUGGUGGACUAACUGAUCUUUAAAUCAGUUUAUGAAAGAGCCCAAUGCAAAAAAAUGCAUGUUGGGUCUUUGAAACAGUUCAAAUCAUUUCGAUAAUAAUCCGUUUGAUCUGUUUUACCGAGAAGGUCUACGGUUCGAAUCCGUAUAGCCCUAAUAUGCCCUUUUUUAGAUUUUAGGAUCUCUAUCCUAUGUUUUCUUUAGUUUAGUAUAGUUUUCAUUUUCUCAUUAGUAUUUGUUUAUAGACUGGAUAAGCGCGUGCGACAUAGAAUAGAGAUAAAAGCAUUACAAAAGGCUCAUUCAUCGAAAAUCAAAAUCAUACAGACAGGAAAAGAAAAACGAAUUUCUAUCAAAUCAAUAGAAGAAAGGAUCCUUUCCCUGAUUUGAAUCCCGUCCUCCUUCAAAUAGGAUAUCUCUAGACUUCCCUAUAAUAACUGCAAUGAUUUUAUCCAUUUUGCGAAUUCCUACUUUGUUUUAAGUAUAUUUAUUACUUUGUUUAUAGAUACAUUAUGUAAAUUGAUAAACUUUAAAUAGAAAAAAUAAAGUAAAGAGUAAAUAAGAAAACAGAAUAUUCUGUCUCAUAGUUCUGAAAUAGAGUUCUUUAUUUUUAUUUUAUAGUAUUACUUCUCAUUAAUUAUACUGCAUAGAUUAGUCCUACUAUCUUAAUUAGGUUCUAAUUUAGUAGUAUUCUCAUUUUUAUUUAAUAGUCUCUUAUUAUUUUAUUAUUAAAUAUUAAAUAAAGGAUAGAGCUAUUCUUUUUUCUAGAGAUUCUAGAGAAAGCAAGACAAAGUGAAACGAGAAAGUUUUCUUUAUAUAAGAAUUAGAUCUACAUACACCAUAUCUAAAUAGAAUGGAAAUCCAAAAGAAAGGGAGUUGGGAUUCCAUUGGAUGAAUCUUUAAAGAAGAUGCA
Molecule: long non-coding RNA, 80848 nt
Filed under: Triticum aestivum (bread wheat)
Lineage: Eukaryota; Viridiplantae; Streptophyta; Magnoliopsida; Poales; Poaceae
Description: long non-coding RNA (TAES_LNC024933)
Source: RNAcentral